RNAcentral lists this long non-coding RNA (65331 nucleotides) under Citrus maxima (pomelo). Its description in RNAcentral is "long non-coding RNA (CMAX_LNC000272)". The record is from RNAcentral. Lineage: Eukaryota; Viridiplantae; Streptophyta; Magnoliopsida; Sapindales; Rutaceae.
UUCAAUUAUCAGUAAACCCACUCCAAUUUAACUAAUAACAAUCUCCAUUUGUUUAAUUAUCAGUCAACAACAACAAACACACUCCAAAUAAUUGAAUAAUUGCCAAUCAAUUAAUUAAAAAUAUAAAAUUUAAUUAUUAGUCAAUGAAGCUCAAUUAAAACUACGUUACAGCUCAAUUAAUUAUUAGUCAAUGAAGCUCCAUUAAAACUACGUUACAGCAUUGAGUUAGUAAUAGGAAAUUCGAAAUUCGAUUCGGGUUGUUGCCAUCAGCUGCAAGCAAGUCAGCAAGUUACAGGCUUACAGCGUCGGCAAAGCGAGACAAACCUUGAUCUCGGAGCAGCUACAACGUCGGCAGAUCGAGACCGUGUUGGGCUGAGUGGGACGCGAGGUGAACGCACGGCGCAGUUGCGGGUGAGGCGUGCUGGCUGACGGCGAGUGGGCUGCGGUGAACGGCUGGUGUCUGUUGGAGUUGGACGAGGCUGCUGGCUAUUACUGUCGUCGUGGCCCACGAAACUCGGAAGAGGGAGUAAGGAGGGAGGGGGAGGGAGAGACGGUGAGACCGAGAGUUUAGCUAAUUAGCUGCUUAGGGAUUUUUUUCAUUUAAUGUAUGGACUUGACUAGCUUACAGAAUCUGGAAGCUACAGACUGCAGCAUCAGCCAUUGGAUGUGGAGUGAGAAACUAAACAAUAGAAAUCAGAUGGUGGGAUGACGGGUAUGUAUAUAUAUUUUUAAUUUUUAAAAGCUGAAUCUUAAAAAAAAAAAAAAAAGGCUUCAACCCGAACGGGUUGAGAAUUCGGUUCGGGUUGAACCCAAACUAAAUUUUAACCCGAAUGGGUUGAAGCUUUGAAUCCGUUGGGGUUUCACCGGUUAACCCAAACCGAACCGAAUCCGAAAUAAAUUUCGGGUUUGGUUCGGUUCGGGUUAACCCGAACCGAAUGCCCACCCCUAGUCUCAGCCAUUAGCCAAGUGGUAAACUCUAACUCUUCCAAGUCCUCUUAAAUUUUACUCUCCUAAUUAAAAAUUACGUAAAGAUAUGAAUUUUCUCUAUUGAUUUUUGUAGGUAGAACAAAUAACCUUCCAGUAUUUGUAAGAUAGAAUUAUAGGUUAUGCUAUAAUAGAGUUGAUCUAGAUGGUUUAUGAGUAGACUUCUAAUUGUAUAAUACAUAUUAGUAAGGGGAAAAAGACAUCUCCACUUGCAAAAUGUGGAGAAGUAGUCACCAACACUCCUAAGUUUUCAUAAAAGGAUGUUAAGACUCAUUUUGACUAUUAUACUCUUUAUCUCUAUUAUUCCCCAAAAAAAUAGACUUUAAAAUGUUUAACAAAUACAAAUAUUAUAUAAAUAAUGUAAUCUAUGCAGCUGACUAAUAAUAUUUUAAUAUUUUAAUAAAUUUAAAUAUAUAAAUUAUUAUAUUUAUUUUAAUAAUAUGUUUUUAUUUAUUGUAGAGACUUAAAAUAAUAUGAAUGAAUUGGAAACCAAUCUUCACAAAGAAAGAAAAGUUAGCCUUCACAUGGAAGUAUGGAAGGAAAGACUAACCUUUAUAAAGAAGGAAAAAGCAACCUUCAGAAGGAAAGAAAGACAAAAAGAUGAAAAUGGGGAAAAAAGUUAUUAAUAGUAAAUAACACUAAUUAAUAAUUAGUAAUAGUGACACUUAAUAUAAUAAAAUUACAUUAAAUUAAAAUAAAAUUGAAUAGAAACAAAUACAAUAUCAAUUAUCACAAUGCAAUUAGUAAGUGUCUAUUUGCUAUGACUUGUCUAAUAGUUUUAAGUAUUUAUUUAAUCCCAUAAGCUCUUAAUCAAAUUUUUUGUUAUUGUUUGAUUAUUUGUUUAGUAGAAUUUUUUUAAUAUUAAAUAAGAUAUUUGGUGUCCACUAUCAAAAGCUUAAAUUUAGGACUUUUGAGAGUAAAAGUUGAAAUUUUUUUUGUAAAAUACUAAAAUGUUUAAAAUAUUAUUUACUUAUUUGACAACUUUAUUUCAUUAUUUUUCAUAACCUAACUUUAAAAAACUUACAUAUUAAAAUCAUUUUUAUAACUUUUAAUAAAAUAUUGACAACCAAAAAAUAAAUUUUUUUGCGUAAAAUAUCUAUUUGUAAAAACUCUGCUAAUAUAAACCCAUUUAAAUAAACUGAAUUUAAAAAGCUACAACCAAAAUACAACUAGAAUUGUUUUUUUUAAUAUUUAAUUGUCGGGCUGAAGGAUCGGACUCAGACUUUCUUGAUUAACCCCUAGACCGAGCCCGAUCCGACUCGAAGCCUAAAAGUGGAGCCGAAGCCUGACUGGGCCGGGCGCUCACUUUUCUGCCAUCCCUAGCGGCAACUCAACUCAAGCCUUGGCUGGAUGGUCGUAGUUUUUGCGCGUUUCAGUUGACAGGCGUUGAUACAGGCUACACGGGGUAUGCGCAGAGUCUUAACCUACACCCACAACAUUUCUCCUCUGUCCUCUCUAUAAAUAGCUUUUCUCUUUUACUUCUCGUUUCCCUCUUCUUUCAAAAUCAUCACCGAAUCAACAAAUAAUCUUUCGCUCUGUCACUCACCAACUAAAUAUCACGAAACGAUAAAAAAUUAGCAAGUUAAUAGCAAAUUAACUGAACUGCUUCAAGCAAUAAUGGCUACUUUCGGUGCUGCUGCCGUUGCCACCAAUCAAAACCCUAACAAGUCCAUCGAGGUAUACUUUAUUUAUUUAUUUUCUUUAUUAUUUUUUCUUUUCGAUAAUCUUUAAAAAUUAUUUACCGUUAAAUUUCUUGUCGGUUUCUUGUGUAUGAUGAACUUGGUGACUGUUGAAUUAAUGCUUAUGGUGAUGUUAUUAUUAGGAUUAAGUAGAAAGUUAUAUAAAUUAUUUAUUAUAUAUUUUUGUCAGGGUUAAGCUUAAUUGCUUGUGUUAAUGUAAAAAUUAAUUCUACAUUUUCGGAUAAAGAUUUUUUUUUUUAAUGCUAAAUAUGUAUGCGAAGCUAUGAUCAUUUGUUUGCUUGCUGUCUUGCUGAACGGAUUGUUGAAAGCGAACCAAUUGCUAAGCUUGUGAAUGUGUUGGAGUUUCAGUGUAAAAGAACAGUAGUUAGUAAGUGAAUCAUCAGGCUUGCUAGUAGUGCUUGGUAGUUUAUAGUGUGAUUUUCAUACAGAAGACAUUGAAGUAAGAAUUUUCACUUCUUCUUUUUAUAUGAAUUUAAAAUUGCAGUCUAUGUGGCAUUUUGGUUCGGGCAGUAAAUUGCUUUUAUUAUUAGAAGUUCAUCUGUUAGAAGUCUUCAUUGUGUAGUUGAGUGUAAUGACCUUCUUGCUAAGUUGGACAAUAUGUGCACGUGGAUAGUUAAGUGGUCAGUUCACAUGACCUCAAACAGAAGAGUGGCCAUGUUGUGUUCAGAUGAAUGAAUGGAAAUGUUGGGCGUGUUUAGUUCUGCCAUGCUAACCUGUACUGACAAUUACCGAUGCUCAAAGUGGAUAUGAGCUGGCAGGGGCUAUGGACUCUCAAAUUGUCGGCACUCUUUUCCCAUACUUAUAUAAUUUAGGCGUUGUUUAAAGAGAAACGCCCUUGAUGAGUGCUUUAAUAUCGUAGGUUUUUGUCUUUCUUUCUUCUCUAAGUUGUGUGUCAUGCUCUUUUCUUUCUCCGUUAUAUCCUUUCAUUUCUGUUUGGUAUCUGAUGUGGUCAACAGUUUACUGUGUCUCCAUGUGGUGCCAUGUGCACUUUGUAUGAUUUUGCGUGUAGUUGAUCAGUCACUUGUACUCUCUUGAUGUUCUUGUAUUUGAGAUCUUUAUCCUCUUGAUGUUUCAAUAUGUAAUUAGGUACUGGGAUACAAGGCAGCCAAAUCCUGUGCGCACUCAACAGCUGCCUGAUCGCUGCUAUGCGCUCCGCUUAUGGUUGUUGGAACUGCAGAUAGAAAUCUAGUUGUCUUCAACUUGCAGAAUCCUCAGGUAUCGUUUUUUAUUCCAUGAGAGCAUUGAUUUAUAUGUGUAAAUUAAAUGGGCAAAUUUGGUGCUGGCAGCUGAAGCAUGUGUUUUGAGUGGCAGCAGUUGCUGUGACACUAGUAGUUGGUUGACUUUGAUUUAAAAUUUAACUUGAACCCAUCUUUUUUAAUGUGGAAUGGAAACAAUAAUUAUUUGUUGACUGUUUUUGGAAUUGAAAGCUAUCCUACCGUAUGGAACCACCUUCCCUUGUAUUCAAAAGGGUUCCUCAAUGUCAUGGAGCAUCCUGUAUAAAAUUAUUGUAUGAUUUCUUUUGUUGCCAGAUAUUUUUCUUCUGAUUGGUGUUGUCUGGAAAAAGGUUAUUUCUCGAUAUCAUUUUGUUUGUGUACAAGGAGGAAUGGAUACUAUAAUAAACUGGUCUACUGAGAAGAGCUUGAUGUUUGUAGAUUUGCCAACAUAUAUACACUACAGUUAUAGUAUGUAUUUCCAUGUCUUCAAUAUUCCUUUUUAAUUGAAAAAAAUAGCAAUUUGGAAUGUGUUUAUUUGCCUUAUAUCUUUCAAUUUUAGUUGAUAAUUUCAGUCAUGCUUUAUCUGUUCUUAUGUGAUGAUGAUAUAAAUAAGAUAUAAUAGCUCCUAGAAAUUUUGAAAUCUGGCUAAUUUAGAAAUUUGAACUAAAGGUUGGGUACAAUACUAUAUCUUCGUACACUAUCAUGAGAGUUUAGAUAACGGUUUCCGCAUUACCUGUAUUACAAUUUACCAUAUAUGGCACAUGCUUAUUGCAACAUAAAAAUGGUCAAGAGGCGAUGAAUUCUUGUUACUAUUUAACUUUUUUGUUGGGUAUUUAUUGAUUUCCAUAUUUUACCUUCAUGUAUUGUUCUUUUUAUAUUUUGUUUCACUUAUUUAUAUCUAAUAUAUGCAUUUUCUUCCGAGUAUGUCUAAUCAUUGUUUAAUGCUACCAGACUGAGUUCAAGAGAAUCAAUUCCCCUUUGAAGUACCAGAUGAGAUGUGUUGCUGCCUUUCCUGACCAGCAAGGUUUCUGGGUAUGCAUUCAUUUAUUUUGAUCUCUCUUUUCUCGUUCCUCAUGGUCUUUAUGCUCGAAAUAUGAGGCAUUGUCAAUUGGGUUGCAUAUUCCCAUGUUUCAAAAUUUGCUUCCCCUGCCAGCAAUGAGGGGCUAAGUUUAGCCUCAAUUACUUAUUCCACUUUCAUCAACAUUGGCUCCAACUUCUUUUCAUUGAGAUCACUGUCUUUUCUUCUAAUCUUUGUGCUUCUCUUAUUUUUUGGUUGUUGAAUAUGGUGUUAUUCCGAUAGGUUGGUUCAAUUGAGGGAAGGGUCGGCGUUCACCAUCUUGAUGAUUCACAGCAAAGUAAGAACUUCACUUUCAAAUGCCACAGAGACGGUAGUGAGACAUGCUCUGUCAUCUCAUUCACUUCCAUCCUGUAAGCUUCCUUUUAGUGCUUUCUGAUUUCAAAUUUUCAGUUACAUAAAACGUUCGAGAUGUAAAACUUAGAAAUAAAAGUAUACAUUGGAGUGAUAUAAUAGCUCAUUUUGAGGUAACUUUAGUGAUGCCACCCAUGUCUUACAUAAUUUUUCCCAGUAUUUGUAAUUUCUCUAAAGAUUAGAGAUCUUUCAAGUAUUAGAUCUUGGUGCCCUUAAGAUGUUGGUAUCAUAGGAAUUUUUAUCCAACAGUGGAAAUGUACUUUCUUUUGUGAGGAUUUCAAUGCUCAGUGCAUAUACUUUUGCUGUUAUUAACAUCAUAUGUUAUCAUUUAAGAUUUGUAGAGCAGGAGAUGCACCUAAGUAUUCUUCAUUUUAUAAGGUGAAGCGCCUACAUCUAUUUGUCAAAUCUCAUGUAAUUGUUCUUUUUGUCCAGAUACAUCACACUUUUGCAACUGCUGGAUCUGAUGGUGCAUUUAAUUUUUGGGACAAGGAUAGUAAACAGCAGCUCAAGGUGUUUUGACUUUCAUUCAGUACUUCAAUAACAAUUAUUGUUGUUGUCGUUAUUGUUCUUCCUAGAUGAAAUACAUAAAACAAUGUGAUUUUUACUGGAUUUUCAGGCCAUGUCAAGGUGCGGGCAACCUAUACCUUGCAGUACAUUCAAUAAUGAUGGCUCGAUAUUUGUGUGCUUGGUAAAUAAAUUCAUCCAUCUUCCUAAAGUCGACUUGGAGUCUCUUAUCAUCCUACUUUUCACACAUGUUGGGAUAUAUGCUUAAGUUCAAGAUAAUGGCAGGAUUCUAGAAAUCCACGCCUCUUUCAUUCUGUCUGUUUGCAUGAUGCUUAGUCUUCUAUGGCUCAUGUUAAUUCAAUGUUACAUGAAUUUGCGUUUCCAUGAAAUUAAACAACUAAAAUUUCUGGUUCUUCCUGCUAUGUUCUGAUCCUGGCAUGGCAUAGUGCAUUGAUUUCUUGGACAUUUAAACUUAAACUAGAAAAGUGUCAUUCUAAAUCUUAUCUUGCAUUUCCUGUAGGUGUGUUAUGACUGGAGUAAUGGGGCAGAAAAUCACAACCCUGCAACAGCAAAGACUUAUAUCUAUCUGCACUUGCCACAGGUUCGUUUACUUUUUUGUUCAUAUACUACCAUCAAUAGCGUAUCUUUGAUCUCUCAAUUCUUGAGGAUCACCAAUAAUCCCAUAUCAUCCAAAAUCUAUUUUGAAAAUAUUUCAAAAAAUCAUUCAAAAUAUGUUGGCUCAAGCUCAACAAAGCAGAAAAUCAAUGGGCCUACAACAACGAUAAAAUGAUUAUGAUAUGUCUUGAUCUUAUUGCAAGUGUGACAAUAAUAAAAAUUCAAGUUGUUUACAGUAUAUGCAAAUUAUCAUUACUCUUCAAUGUCUAUUUGAAUGUGCAUCAUCAAUUAACCGCAAAUUGGGUUCUUAUAAUCAUGAAUCCAAAUUCAAGCCAUUCAAUGGUUUAGCCCAUUUUAGUAGGCUUAUCAAUUUUAAUUAAAAGUUUAUUAGACAAAGUUAAUGCAUAAAAAUAGAGUGCUUUAAAGUAAAGCAUACAUUAAGAUUUUUAUGUGAUUUGAUGUCCAAAUCCCUACUUCUACGAAGCCAUGCUCAAAUAUCAAGUGAUUCAUUAGAUUUAAGAGAUUAGAAACUAUUGGAACCUUAUAUAUUAUAUGAGACUCUCUCUUGGUGAUUGCUGCCAUCUUGUUAUAAUCUCACCAAGUGAAAACUUUAUGUGCACCACACAUUUUUUGCUUCCUCUUCUUAGUAAGACUUUUAAGUCAACAGUAUGUCGCCACUCUAUAGAAUUUAUAUUCUAUGAACACGUGGUCCCUUCUCCCAUCUCCCAAAAAUACUAAAGAUAAUGUCUCUCAAUUAAAGAAUGAUCCGAAGGUUGUAGCCUUUGAUGUAGAAUCAUUCUACUGCUCCAACGAUUUUUACUCCGCAAAAACUGGAUGACAUGGCCAUCGAGAUGAUCAUAAAAGAAGUUGGUAGAAUUAAAGUUUUAUAUUCUGUAUGCUUGUUUGUCUGGCUAGAAAAUGAAGGAAAUUUUGUUGACUUAGAGAGGCAAAUCAGAAACUGAAUUCAUUAUGAUUUGAUACAAUAGACUGAGAUUACAAUACAGUAUAUAUAUAGUAGCAUCUGGAACUUUGUGAAUGUAGCAGAAUCAUAUGCGCACACUGCUAUUCACCACAACAUUUUGGUGGGAAAUAACAGACUUAUAACAAACUUUUAACAACAUGCAUAAUAAUCUUCCAGUAGCUUCCAGUAGCGUGGCAUCUGAUUCAUUACUUCACUUAACAAUUUGCUGACAUCACAGAGCCUCACAGAGCUGACUCAACUUAUUCUUAACAGGUAGUGGACAAUCAAGAAGACAGCAGACACCAAGGCAACAAGAAUAAUGAAAAUUGCAAAGUGCGCGAUCCGUUGAUAUCCAUGAUCAAAUGAUUAAUUUUUUUCAAAUCAAGGAGUGUUUUUAUUAUCAGAAGUACCAUGUUUACUGAUUAUAAAGAAUUGUUAAAUAUAAAAUUAGCAGUAAAAUAAUUGUUAAGCAAAUAAAAAUCUAUCCAAUCACUGUAAAGGCUUUUCCAAAUCUAACAGCAUAACACAAAAGUAUUAUUUUUUUUUCUUUUUUCAUUUUUUGAGAAAUCCUUUAUUCUUUUUUAAUUUGUUGCAAAUAUAUACAUACGAUUUAAAAUAACUAAAAAUUACAGGACUCUAAAUUAGCAAUAAUCUCGAAAAUCUGUUCUUAUUAAUGUUGCCUUGGUGGAAAUCGACCUUAUUUAAAGAGAAUGAGCCCCAUGCCAUUGGGCUACAAGCACAAGCGGCCCACAAAUAGUAGAGUAUCUAAAACAGUAAAAUUAUAUCAUCUCCAUUGUCCAGAACACUUUAUAUAUGCAUUUCCAGUUUUCCACUGUAUAUACUAAUAUGCAUCCCUAGUAUACUUUAAGCGUUGAAGAGGUCUGAUGGAAAAAAAAAAAUGAUUAGAAUCCUUCGUUUCUAGCGGAUCAUAAAAGGCUUUAUUAUUUUCUUUUUCGAGUGAUGCUUUUUACAAAUAAAAAUGCACAAAGCUAGUAAAAGAUGAAUCUAUUCACUUUAUCAAUUCAAUAAUGAUAUGGCACAAAUAAUUUUAUACAUAUUGGUAUGUACAAACUGAUGUGGCAUAAAGAAAUUUAUUGAAAAGUGACAUAUUAUUUUUUUUAAUUAUGUGAAUCCACGAUGGUUUUAUAGAACCAACCUUCGAUUUUUUAAGAUUGUUAACAGCAGAGGGGUGAUAUUCAAAAUUAUUGAUCGAAUAGGUAUAACUUAUUACCUGAUUCUUCUUUAAUUACAAGAAUUCUGAUCAUCGAAGGUUUUUGGGCCUUCCCAAAUCAAACUUGGCUGUGGUUGGACUGAUCAUUUCUUUUAGUAUUCUCACAGUAGAUCACUUUCACAGUUAAUUGGAACUCCACUCGUGAGUCACGGCCGCGGUAAGUGUAGAUUUGGGAACUAGCUAAAGUCUUAGUAUUAGGACCUGUUUGUUGUUAUAUAUGAUAAUCAACACAAAUCAGUCUAAUGAUUCAACGUUUAUGAGUCGGCACGCAAGACUUAAUUGGAUAAGACUAUUUUCAGCGUCAAUCAUAUUUUAUACGUUCUAAAAGAAAAGUCUUUGUUACUUUCUAAUUAGUAAAUUUCCUUUAAGAUGAACUGUAUCAACUGGGGCUAGUAAUCAGUUGAGCUCAAUGGAGCGUUAUGUAGUCAUCACUGUUGUUAAUUUAGUAAUGGCUUCAUUCGUCGCCUUAAUAUUAACAUUCGCUGCGAGGCCUUCUGUAAUCGUCUUGAUGCUGCUGACCGCAACUGCGUGUGGGAUGAUACCCUUGGGUUUGAUUAUUUUUUGUUAUGUGAAGAGAAAUCCGGAAAGCAAAGGUACGUAAGAAUAGUUAAUUAAUUUAUCACGCAUAGCAUAUAUAACAUAUGAUUGUUUGAUCGAGUAUAUAGUACGAAUAUUUUUUAUGUCUUCACCAUUCAGGGGAGGAUUUGAUGCGAUUUGAUUUGGGUAUGAACCGACAAGCUAUUAACAUAGAGCUUACUGAAGCAAAUAAGCAUGGAAACGGUGGAAAAAAGCAAAUUGAAUUGCCCUUUUUCAGUUUUUCCAGUGUUUGUGCAGCCACAAAUAAUUUCUCUGCCACAAAUAAACUCGGGGAAGGUGGUUUUGGUCCUGUAUACAAGGUAAAAUUUUAAUUUUGGCAACAAGCUUAUGGACUAAUUAUUAUUUAACAAGAACUACAAUUUCAGGGAGUAUUAGCAAAAGGAGGUGAAAUAGCUGUCAAAAGGCUUUCAGGAAGAUCUGGACAAGGAUUGCGAGAGAUGAAAAAUGAAGCUUCAGUGAUAGCCAAGGUUCAGCACAAGAAUCUUGUUAGACUUUUGGGCUGCUGCAGGGAUAAAGAUGAGAAGAUUCUGAUCUAUGAGUACAUGCCUAACAAAAGCUUGGACUUCUUUCUUUUCGGUUAGUUAUUGCAUUUAUUCUUACAUGUUCCUUACUUCAAAUUUUAUUCAUACAUUUGUUUGAACUAAUAUUUAAUAAAUAAAAUUACAUAUCAAAAAUUUAUUUCAAAAUUUAUUUAAACUAGAAUUUAGCCUAUAUUACAUUUCCAAUUUUUAUUCAUUAAUUUAUGUAAAAUAGCAUUUAGCAUUUAAUUUAAGAUUAAACAUAUAAUUACAUUCAGUAAUUUAUUCAAACUACUACAUAAUACUAAAUAUCAAAAUUAUUCAAUUAUUAAUUUAUAUUGAAAUUGAAUAUCUAAUAUAAUAUUCAAUAAUUAACAAUAUAAAUUUAAGAAAUAAUCAUACUUUUUAAAUAGCUUUUUUAACUUCCAUAAACUAAAUUUAAUAUUAGUGGCGAAGCUAGCACUAUUUUUUGGGGUGGGCUAGAUUUUUUUUUUAAAAUUCAAUUACUUCUCAAAAAAAUUAUUCUAUACAAAUAAAAUGAUUAAAAUACACUAGACAAGCAAGAAAAACUAAUAACAAAACUAUAAAAGUACAAUGUAAAUAAAAAAAUACUAUCAACGAAAUUUUGUCAUGUGAUUCUCCAGAAAAGAAAACUCAUAUAUCGUAUCUGAAUUAUAUUAUCUGCGAUAGUAAUACAGUAGAGAUAUUAUCUGCGAUAAUAAUACAUUAGAGAAUUAUUAAUUAUUUUAUCAAAAAUUUUGACAAAAGUAUAAGCUAAUAACUAAUUCAAAAACAGUAUGAGCAUGUGGGUGCGGCAGAGGCUAGCUGCCACCCAUGAGGUGGCAACUUGAUGACUUGAACAAUUGAGUUUUGGGGAAUUUAAACUUUGGAUAAUUAGAUCAAUUAGUUAGGGAUUUAGGUGAGUUUUUCGAUUUAGAGAAAAUAGAUAUUGACUAUAAUUAUUAGUUAUAUUUUUAUAUUUUACUAUAAGUUUUUUAAAAAGAGUAAAUUUAUAAUUAAUUAAUUUUUUUUCAAAAAACAGCCCGGGUUAGCCCCCUCAUAACUUCGCCCCUAUUUAAUAUGAUCUCGUCCAAUACUAAACCAAACACAAAACGUGACUAUAAAAUAAUUCAGUCUUAUCGAAUCCAAUUAAAUCUUAAUAACUAGUCCAAUCCAAUCCUUUGUUUACCUAACCUAAAAGAAUAUUUAACAUUUACUAUUUCAUUUAGCUAUUUUUAAGUUUAAUGAUUAACAUCAUCCAAUUAUCAGAUUUUUUAUUAAAAAAAUAAAAUUAAGUCACUAGAUCAAUUUACGUUAGAUAAUGUAGUCUACAUUUUUUUUUGUUUUCAUGCAUAAUGACGUUUAGUUCUUUUGUUGUAAAUUAGAUCCAACCAAGCGAAUGUUAUUAGAUUGGGUAACACGUCUUCGGAUUAUUGAAGGGAUAGCUCAAGGGCUUCUUUAUCUUCAUCAAUAUUCGAGAAUGCGAAUCAUUCAUCGAGAUUUAAAAGCCAGUAACAUCUUGUUGAAUAAAGACAUGAAUCCCAAAAUAUCAGAUUUUGGAAUGGCAAGAAUUUUUGGAGAAAAUGAGUUACAAGCAAACACUAGUAGGAUCGUCGGGACUUAGUAAGUGAAUGACACAAAUCAAAAUUAAAGUGAUUAAGUUAUGCAUAAAUUACUGAUUAUUAUUUAUCAAUUAUUGAAUUACAGUGGUUAUAUGUCCCCCGAAUACGCAUUCAAAGGAAUAUUUUCAAUUAAAUCUGAUGUGUUUAGCUUUGGAGUAUUGUUGCUUGAGAUUGUAAGUGGCAAGAAGAACACUGGAUUUUAUCGAACCGACUAUCUCAAUCUGCUGGGUUAUGUACGUAACAAAAGUCGUUGCACAUAUUCUUUUUAUACUACUUAGGUGAAAUUAUAUAUUAAUUCCCACGUCAUGCUUAGGUGUGGACACACACUUUUACAAUGUGAAAACGUUUGGAUUUUUGCACCUGACUAUUUUUAAACUAUUCUCUAUAUCAAGUGUACAACUAUCUAAUAACAUCGUAUGGUUGUUCAGGCAUGGGAUCUGUGGACAAGCAACAGGGCAUUGGAGUUGAUUGAUGAUCCAGUAUUAGAAGAUGAAUAUUCCUCCAAGCAUAUGCUUUUAAGAUAUGCGAACAUUGCACUCCUUUGUGUACAAGAAAGUGCUGAUGAUAGACCCACCAUGAAUGAUGUUGUAUCCAUGCUGUCAAAUGAAGCUGCAGCAUUACUUCCUCCGAAACAACCUGCUUUUUCGUACGUAAGAAAUACAGUCACUUCAACAUCGUCCACGGGCAAGACAGAAGAUUGUUCAAUCAACCAAGUAACGAUUUCACUUUUAGAAGCGCGCUAACUUUUAUUUUAAUUCAUACACUUUGGGGUUAGGUUGUUCUAAUUACUCCUCUGAUCCAAUAUUUGAACUGAGUUUCCUGUUUUUGACUCGCUGGUACGUACCGACCAUUUCUCAGAGUUUAAAUUAAAGUUUAAAUUAAUUUUUUAUUUUUUAUUUUCUCCAAGAUUCAAACUUACUUAGGUGAUAAUGUAAAUAAGACUAUUUGAAAACUACUAUACUAAACUCCUGAGACUAAUUAUUAGAUAUUAUAUGGAGUAAUGACCCUGAUUUUUAUUAAUUCAACGGGAUAUGAUACUAUCACGAGUCUGAUAUAUAAAAGGCCAUGCAUGGAACCAUUAUUUUCGUUCAAUGGGAUCAGAAUCAAGAAACUACGAACUUGGGGGAUAAAAUCAACAAUUUGUAAACCGACAGAGGGAGAGGAUCAAAACAUAUGUAAAGUCCAAGGAGAUGAACUAGAUUUCAAUUAACGCCCUUAUCUUGCUAUGAAUUAUAUAAUUCUAAUUCAAGAGAGACACUUUUAAAUAAAAAUUUAGACGUAAUAUUCUGACCAUUAUAUUAAAGCUAACCAAAAGUUGAUAUUGAAGUUAACAUGCCUUUUUUAAGUUUUAAAAACUAAAAAAUUAAUAUAAUAGAUCUCCAUAUAAUAAUAAAUUAUUAAUUAUUCGUCUCUCUUAAUAUAUUCCCUCUUUUAUCUCUUUUUUUUCAUCCGCUUACCCUUUUAUGUCUUGCCUACAUUAAUUAGUUUGAACUUUUGCAUGGCAUCAGUGCAAAAACUUAACCGACUGAUAGAGCUGAAAUGGACUUAAAUUUUAUUUUCACUCAUUGACUAUUUUCAUGCAAAAUUAUUUUGUCCAUCAAAAUUCGUAGCAGGACAUAUAUAUUCGUUUCUAUGUGUACAUAUUAAAAAUAAAAUAAAAUAAAAUAACAAGGAGAGAAAGGAGAUCACCAAAAUCACUAUCAAAACGAUAAUGUUUUUAUCACUGUUUUGUCACCGUUUUGCAUUUUGUUCAAAUAGCAGUACACAGAUUUUGAUUGUUUAGUGUUUGCUCCUAACUCAUUCCCUUAAAAAAUUAUCUCUGUUUCUGUAAUUAAAGGUCAAAUCACAGAUUUUGAUUGUUUAGUCUGGCCGUAUAUAUUAUUUAAAGAUCUAAGAUUUUGUUAUUCUGUUGUGACUGUUUUUUCUUUGAAUCAUUACUUUGUUGGUUAGUUACACGUGCAAUGUUGAGGGGUAAAAGAUAUAUGUAGAGGGGAACACGUCAUACGAAGGAAUGGAAUGGCAAAUAUUUCUUCUUCUCUCUCCGUCUCUCCUGCUAUCUCUGUUUCUCCAUUAAUUUCAAUUCUUUUUGCUUCUUUUUUUGUUGGAGCCAGCACUUACUCGAACAGUGUAAAUCUAUGAUAUAAACUCUGAGUUGCAGAGUUAUAUCACAUUCCUCUUCGGCUGCUUUCUAAUUAAUUAACUUGGGCUACCUUUACUCUGCUAUAUUACAUACACAUUGCAACUUGCAAGUUCCAUCCCUUCUCUUCGUUUCAUUUCAACUAGUAUUAAACCCAAUCAUGAGAUCAACUUUACUCUUAUCAUGGCUUUUCUUGAUACCCUUUUUAGCUAAUUAUUUUGGGAUGCAUAUGGUUUUGGUGUCUGGCCAAUGUCAGGGCCAUCAAAAAUCGCUAUUAAUCUAGAUGAAGAACAGCUCCAUAUUUGACGUUGAAAUUAAUAAUUUAUGUUUUAUUUUGAAUUAUAAGUUAAUUACCUCUUACAAAAAUAUGAAAUAAUGAGGCUGCCGAUGUGCCUUAAAGAGCGAUAGCAAGAUUACUAUAGAAAAACACGCGCGAUCGGAUACAAAAUUGCAAUAACACAACCAAGCCAUACAUUUUAUAUGAGGAACCCAUUAAUUAUGAGAUAGAGAUUAAACAAAGUUAUGAUGAAUAUGAUUAAUUUUAUCUAUCAAAUCAAUCUAACCACUUUUUAAUUAACUAGAGACGAUUAUCAUUUUGUACAUGUGGGUCCAAUCCACAGAGAGCUUCGCCGAAGCUGGAAGCAGCGGGCAAAGUAGCGGAUACUCAUUAUGUGAUUGAUCUUUGGAUUUUCAGUCCAUGUCCUAUUGCGAUCCUUACAUUACAUAUGAAAGAUCAACAAUACAUAUAGAGCUAGCUUUAAACACCAGUUGAACAGGGAGAUAUUUUAUUAUAAUGGAGUUAACAAAAUAGAUAUUAGAAGGAUUUUUGUUUUUGAAAAUUCUAGUCUAAAAACCUUGUAAAUAAUUGCUAUUGUAACAAAAAUAUGGAAUGUGGUUUUUUCUUAUAUUAAAAGUUGGAAGGUGGUCAAAGUGUAAAUUUCCCAAUAAUUUUCCAACGUGUCUAUGAAUCUUGUGUCGGCUCUUCAUAAAACCUGUAAAAUCACUAUCAAUUGUUAGCUCUCUCCUUACGGCUUUUACAAGUCUUUGGGUUCCACGAGCAAAUUAGCGUCCAGUUCGGCGCGAGAUGAAUUACAUUCAAUCAAUUUUUUUUUUAAUUAAAAGCAAUAAAAUCACUGUCAAAUGUUAGCUGUAUCCUUACGAGACUUUUCGAAGUCUACGGGUCCCGCAAGCAAAUCAAAGUUGAGUUUGACGCGAAAACGAAUUGCAUUCAAUCAAUUUUAAGAUUUUUUUUAACAUAGUAGAGGAAUAGUGAAAGUCUAAAUUAAUUCUUUUUAUUAUACUUAUUUCAAGAUUCAAACUCACCUGAUUAAUUAAGUAAAUCUGUUUAAUUAUUGGAUCUUAUAAUGAAUAAAGACCCUGAUUUUUAUUGGUUGAAUAAGGUUUGAUGCUAAUUAAUAUACUGCAAAAGGCAGAAAGAAUCCUAAUUAAUAUAAGCAGCGAUGCAUGGAGCCAUGAUUUUGGUUCAACGGGAUCAGAAUCAAGAAACUACGAACUUGGGGAGGCCAAGAUCAACAAUUUGUAAAACGAUGGAGUAAGAGGAUCAGAACAUAUAUAGAGAUUCCAAAGAAAUGGACUAAAUUUUAAUUAAUACCCUUAUCUUCCUAUGAAUUAUAUAAUUAUAAUAUUGUAAUAAUCACAGAUUUACUAGGUCCCAACGAUUCCAUUGGUGCUUGUUUCUAACUCAUUCCCUUCAAAAUCCUAUCCCUCAUUUCAAAAUUAUUUUAAUUAGUUUCCAAGUCUACGCCUAAAAGCUAAAAACUUUUAGUUUGCUUUGAAUAAUCCUAAAAGUUUUUGCUUUAAUUUUCUCUUAUACUUACUUUGGUAUGGCUUUCUAAAUAUAGCUUAUUAAAUAGAGUUUUUAUUAGUAAAGCUUUUAUAAAUAGCGUUUUCAUAAAAAUAAUUUUAGUUAUUUGUUUGUCAAUGGAAGCUUUUAUUAAAAAUUAAAAAAUUGUUUAAUAAGCAUGUUUUUUAAAAUUAUAUUAUGAAAUGAAUGAAAUAAAAUUAUCGAAUAAAUAAAUGAUAUUUUAGGUGUUUUAACAUUCUUAAAAAUAACUUUUUUAACAUUCACUCCCAAAAACCCAAAUUUUGAGUUUUUACUAGUAGAGAAAAAAAUAACUUAUUUAAUUUUUAAAAGCUCUACUAAAUCUUAAAAGAGUUUAUAUAAUUAAAUAAGUAUUUAUAUCCAUUAGAUGAAGUAUGCCAAACAUACAUAAUGUCUUAUUUGUUUGAGAUUUCUUUUCUUCUCUCUGUUUGACAAAGUUAAUAAAAUAAUUAACAAGAAUUUCAAAUAAGGGCCUUUGCCUUCUGUCAUUGAGACAAUAUUCAUCUCCAAACUGGUUCCACCGUAGAUACAUAUUGUAUGGGCAAUAUUCAUAGAUGAUCUCUAAGAAUUCAUGCUCAAUUUUAGUUGCAAUAAGAUAUAGGCUAUUUCCACAUUAAAAACUACUCUGAGCACUCUGGUUUUAAUAAAAUAAUUUAAUUACAAAAUUAAUCAUCAUAUAAAUUACUAUUAAGAUUUAUUUAUUAAUGAGCCAAUACAACUUAAUUACUUUAAAACUCAUAUAUACACUCAUUAUUUAACAUAUAAUCUUUUAUAUCUAACAUCUUAAAAUAUAAUUCAUUGAACAUGCACCAAAUCAAUUUUUAAAUAAUUUUAAAGAUAAAAUAUUUGUAAGACUUACAUUUUUCUAGAAAUAAAAUAAACUGAAAUUAUUGCAAAGGUGUUCAUUUUUUUGUCUUUAAUUUAAAAAUAAAUAAAUUAAAGCACUCUAAACCUAAUAACCCAGUCAGCAUCUUCUUCUUCUUCUUCUUCUUUUUUGUGUCAGAUUACAAUUUGGUUUUCAAUUAUUAUUGGGGUAGUGAAGUCCAUACUUAUUGAUCUUAAAGAAUUUAUAGGUGCAAAAAUUGAUAUGGGAUACAUUCUUUAAUUAACGAAAACUGAUAAAUAAAAUUAUUUUAAAAAAUUUGCUUAAAACUUGACUUAAUUUCAUUGUUGCUAGUUAUGCUACAUUUAUUAAAACGAUUUUCUUUGAGUGUGCUGAAUAUUUUUAUUAGUGUUUUGAGUAAAUUAAUUUAAAUGAUUUAAGUAGAGAUACUUUUGGCAUCUUAAAGAGUGUACAAAAUAAAAAUUAAUUUUUCAAAUUUAGAAUUUGUGUAUAGAGUACCUUUUUUUUUUUUUCCAAAGAAGUUGUAACAAGAUAUUUAUUCGUAGUAUACAAUGAAAGACAAUGCUAAAAGAAAUGAGCCCAACCAAGUUUUAAGUGACUUACUUCUAUAGUUUUAUGCGUGGAUCUCCCACUAACUUUUUACUGUCGUAAUUUUGGACCUAUGGAAAUGGAAGAUUCCUGUAUUUGAUGCAGGCUUUAACCAAAAGAUCCAAUUUUCUUUCUUUUUUUUUUUCUCCCAAGUCUUGGCAACAUUAAUUGGUUUGAACUUUUGUAGUCUUCUAGCUCCCAGUUUAUACGUUGGGGGUGUAACUUCUAGGGAACUUCGGCCAUCCUUUUCCUGUUAAAUGAAUUCAUCGCAACUCCCAAGUUUCAUCACUCCUCUCCGAGUUUCAUUUCAGCAAUUAUUAAAACAAUGCGACCAAUUUUACUCUUAUCAUGGCCUUUCUUGAUACCCUUUUUAGCCAAUUAUUUUGGGAUACAUAUGGUUUUGGUUUCUGGCCAAUGUCAGAGCGAUCAACAAUCUUUGUUACUCCAAAUGAAGAACAGUCUCAUAUUAAGCAAUGACAGUGGCUUUCCAUCUACAAAACUGAGUCAGUGGAGUAGCCAUCAAAGCUCCGAUUGUUGUGAUUGGAGCGGUGUAAGGUGCGAUGAGGCUGGUCAUGUUAUUGGUCUCGACUUGAGCUGGGAACCAAUCAUUGGCGGACUUGAGAAUGCGACUGGCCUUUUCGAUCUUCAAUAUCUGCAGAGCCUCAAUCUGGGUUUCACUCUCUUCAAAGGAUUCCAAAUACCAUCCAGAUUGGGCAACCUGACAAAUUUGACUUACCUGAAUCUUUCCCAGGGUGGCUUCGCAGGGGAGAUUCCCACUGAGAUUUCAAGCUUGACAAGGUUGGUUACUCUUGAUUUGUCAGGUAUUGUGCCCAUAGAAUAUUCCUAUACAGUUUGGAUCGCAAACUUAAGCUUGUUUCUGCAGAACUUAACAGAGCUCACAGAACUGCAUCUUGAUCGAGUAGAUUUGUCCGCCUCCGGAACUGAAUGGUGCAAAGCUUUAUCAUUUCUGCCCAAUCUACAAGUUUUAAGCUUGUCCGGGUGUGAUCUUUCAGGUCCAAUCAAUCACUACCUGGCAAAGUCACGGUCACUCUCCGUGAUUCGUUUGCAUUACAAUUAUGGUCUGUCUUCAGGUACAGAGUUUUUGGCCCAUCUGACGAAUUUGAAGGCCUUGGAUCUCAGCGAGUGUGGGUUGCAAGGGAAGUUUCCAGAAAAGAUAUUGCACGUUCCCACACUUGAGACUCUUGACUUGUCAAUUAACCAAUUGCUUCAGGGUUCUCUGCCAAACUUUCCUAAGAAUUCUUCUCUUCGGGACCUGAUCCUCUCUCACACGGGAUUGUCAGGCACACUACCAGAUUCCAUUGGGAAUCUUGAAAAUUUGACAAGGGUAGAGGUUAGUAGUUGCAAUUUCACAGGGCCAAUUCCCCCUUCAAUGGCUAAUCUUACCCAAUUAUUUCACAUGGACUUCUCAUCUAACCAUUUCUUUGGUCCCAUCCCAUCUCUUCACAAGUCAAGAAAUCUCAACAACUUAGACCUUUCGUUCAAUAAUUUAAGUGGCGGGAUCUCAUCCACUUUCUGGGAACAACUUCUAAAUCUCCAAAUUGUUGUCUUGGGGCACAAUUCACUUAGUGGAAGUAUCCCCAGAUCUCUGUUUCUACUUCCAAAUCUGGAGAUGCUUCAGCUCUCCAACAACCAGUUCGAGAACCAACUUCCUGAAAUUUCAAACGUGUCCUCGUCUGUAUUGUUUGACCUUGAUUUAAGCGGCAACAGAUUAGAAGGGCCUGUCCCCAUUUCAAUAUUCUUUGAACUCAGAAACCUUUAUACCCUCGAUCUUUCUUCCAAUAAGUUUAGCAUAUUGAAACUGGCUUCAAGCAAACCACGGGCCAUUCCUAUUCUAAAAAACCAAUCACAACUUUCUGUUUUGGACAUUUCAGAUAACCAAAUAUCUGGAGAAGUACCAAAUUGGAUUUGGGAAGUUGGUAGUGGCAAUCUUAAGUUCUUAAAUCUUUCACACAACCUCGUAGUGAGCUUGCAAGAACCUUACUCUAUUUCUGGUAUCCGCUUCCUUGACCUGCACUCCAACCAGCUCCGAGGAAAUAUCCCUUACAUGUCACCAAAUACUUCCUACGUCGAUUACUCCAACAAUAAUUUUACUUCCAUUCCAGCUGACAUUGGUAAUUUCAUGUCUGAAACAGAAUACUUUUACUUUGUCGCUGCAAACAAUAGUCUCGCUGGAGUCAUCCCGGAAUCUGUAUGCAAGGCUACCAAUUUUCAAGUUCUUGACUUAUCAAACAACAAUUUGAGUGGCACAAUUCCUGCAUGUUUAAUCACCAAGAGUAGCAGCACUCUGGAGGUUUUAAAUUUAGGGAGAAACAACCUCAAUGGCACUCUUUCUGACACAAUAUUUCCAGGAGAUUGUGGGUUGCAAAUUCUAGAUCUCAGUGGAAAUCAACUACAAGGAGUGGUUCCAAAAUCUCUUGCCAAUUGCAAUAUGCUGCAGGUUUUAGACCUCAGGAGUAACUAUAUCAGUGAUAAUUUCCCAUGCUGGUUAAGGAAUGCUUCUAGUUUGCAAGUUCUAGUUUUGCGAUCCAACAACUUCUCCGGACACAUUAGCUGUCCGAGAAAUAAAGUCUCCUGGCCUCUGCUUCAAAUAGUCGACUUAGCAUGCAAUAAAUUCAGCGGAAGACUUUCACAAAAGUGGUUACUUACCAUGAUGGUGGCUGAAACCAAAUCCGGAUCUGAGGUGAACCACCUUGGAAUUGAGAUGCCGAGCAACCAAUUCUAUGAGGUUAGAGUAACAGUUACAGUAAAAGGUAUAGAGAUCAAGCUACUGAAGGUCCCAAAUAUAUUCACUUCCAUUGACUUUUCAAGCAACAAUUUCGAAGGGCCAAUACCAGUAGAAAUGGGACGAUUCAGAUCACUUUAUGCUCUGAACAUGUCGCACAAUGCUCUCACAGGCUCGAUACCAUCAUCUUUUGGGAACUUGAAAGAGAUUGAGUCCUUGGACCUCUCAAUGAACAACCUCAGCGGGAAAAUUCCUGCCCAGCUUGCAAGCCUAAAUUUCCUAUCGGUCCUAAAUCUCUCAUACAAUAACUUAGUGGGAAAGAUUCCGACAAGUACUCAACUCCAAUCAUUUUCACCGACUUCUUAUGAAGGAAACAAAGGAUUGUACGGACCUCCUUUAACGAAUGAAAGCCAAGCACGUCCUCCUGAGUUACCACCUUCACCGCCACCAGCUUCAAGCGGUGAAAUUGAUUGGUUCUUCAUAGCCAUGUCAAUUGGAUUUGCGGUCGGCUUCGGAGCAGUUGUUUCACCUCUAAUGUUUUCCGUGCAGGUAAACAAAUGGUAUAACGAUCUUAUCUACAAAUUUAUAUAUCGGCGAUUCCGUGUGUGAAGUGAUUUAAAUCUCUCCUUUUGAAUAAUCAUGUAAGCUAGCUUUUGCUUCUCUCUUGUGUCAUAGAUGUUUGAUAUUUCUUUUCUUCUCUGUUUGAUAGAGUUAAUAACGUUGACAAUAAUUUGAAAUAAGGGCCUAUCUAUAACUAUUGCUGAGACAAUCUUUAUCUCAAAAUUGGCUCCAAGUUAGAUCUAUAUCGGCGCAAUUCACACACAACAUAUCUUUGUGAGUCCAUACUAAAUUAAUAUGUGCAAGAUUGUGUAUGAUUCCAACUCCAAGCUAGAUACAUAGCGAUUCAUGAUCAUAUUCCAUUUGUUCACUUGGAAGUCUUGAGUUAUGAGCCCAUCUAAGAAAUGAGCCCGAAAAGGGUUGGGGGGUCCUUGUGGCCUGGCCGAGUAGUUUGAUCAAAAUAUUAGUUUAUAUUAUGUUUAAUUUGAACUCUUGUAAUUCUUCAUACUCCAGUGUAUGUUUUCUUUCUUAUUUAAGGAGGGGAGUGGAACUCUCACUUCAUAGAUCUCACUCAUUUUUUUUUUUUUUGCAAGGAGUGGAAUUCUCACUUCUAUAGGGGCCACUCCCACAUCUUCUUUUCUUUAUGAAAUACAAUAAAAUUUAUAUUUAUUAAAUAAAAUUAUAUUAUAUUAUUUAAAAUUAAAAACAUUAUAUUUAUUUAAAUAAUAUUAUUAUAUUUAGUUAAAAAAUAAAAAUUUAUGUAAUCUAAGUUAAAAUUACUUAAAAGUAAUACUAUUAUAUUCAUAGAGAAUUAAUAAUAUUACAAUAUACUAUCUUUAUUUGAAAAAUAAAAUUACUAUAUUUAUUUAAUAUUGAUAACUAAUAAUAAUAAAUGGUUUACUCUAAGAAAAUAUUAAUUUUGUAAUAUAUUAUCAAUAAUAAUGUUUUGUUUGUUUUGCUCUUAUAAUAAUUUUUAAUUUAUGUAAUUAAAAUUAAAAUCAAUAAAAAAUUAUGAUUUACAUAAUUAAGAAUAUUAAUAAUUAUUAGUAAUUUAUAUAAUUAAAAUAAUGAUAAAUUAAAUAGUUUAUUUUAUAAAUAUAUUUUUUAUUCACUUGUAAUUAGAAACUACAAUCUUUUAAAUAAGGGUAAAAAUGUAAUUUAAAAUAAUUAACUCCCAAUCCAAAUAAGAGUAAACAUAUAAAUAAGAUUAUGACUCAUAUUAUACAUUCUUCUUCCAAUGUAAGUAAACAACUUAUUUCUACUUCCGAUCCCUGAAUUCCUAAACCACACCUUAGUUGAGUGGUUUUCAAACAAUUUUAUUUAAUUGUAACUUGAGUUCAAAUAUUGAUAAAAUUAGAAUUAAAAAUUUCUAAAAAAAUUAUUUGAAUUUUUUCCACCACUCUACUUUUUAAAUAAAUGAAAAAGAAAAACUCUCAAAUAAACAAAUAAAAGCUUUUAGUAUGUGCGCCAAUAACGUUUUUAUUGUCAAUUAUUUUGAGUCAUUAGUAUUCUGCAAUUUUUAUAUUGAAUAUAGUUGUACAUAAUUUAUCUAACUUUAACAGUAUUUUCUUGCCAACUUGCAUCUCAACAGUUAGCCAAGUGGUGAACUGCAACUCUCCCAAGUCCUCUUAAAUUUUUCUCUCCUAAUUAAAAAUUAUGUAAAGAUAUGAAUUUUCUCUGUUGAUUUUGUAGGUAGAACAAAUCGCCUUCCAAUAGACGGUCUAUUGAUAGACUCUUGAUUGUACAAUACAUAUUAGUAAGGGGAAAAGUACAUCUACACUUCCAAGAUUUGGGAAAUGGUCACCAACACCCCUAAGUUUUCGUAAAAGGACACCAAGACCACUUUUGAUUAUUAUACCCUUUACCUCUAUUAUCCCAAAAAAUAGGCUUUAAAAUUUUUAAUAAAUACAAAUAUUAUAUAAAUAAUGUAAUCUAUGCAGUAGACUAAUAAUAUUAAAAUAUUUUAAUAAAUUUAAAUAUUAAACUAUUAAAAUUAUUGUAUUUAUUUUAAUAAUAUGUAUGUAUUUAUUGUAGAAAUUUUAAAUAAUAUGAAUGAAUUGGAAACUAAUCUUCACAAGGAAAGAAAAGUUAGCCUUCACAUGGAAGCAAAGACUAACCUUUAUAAAGAAGGAAGAAAAAGCAACCUUCACACGGAAAGAAAGACUAAAAGAUGAAAAAGGGGGAAAAGUUAUUAAUAGUAAAUAACACUAAUUAAUAAUUAGUAAUAGUGACACUUAAUAUAAUAAAAUUACAUGAAAUUAAAAUAAAAUUGAAUAGAAACAAAUACAGUAUCAAUUAUCACAAUGCAAUUGGUAAGUGUCUAUUUGGUAUAAUCCCAUAAGUUCCUAAUUAAAUUUUUUAUUAUUAUUUGAUUAUUUUGUUGUAGAUUUUUUCAAUAUUAAAUCAGAUAUUUGGUCUCUACUAUCAAAAGCUUAAAUCUGACCCGAACCCCAAAAGUGAAGCCGAAGCCGGGCUGGGCCGCGCGCUCACUUUUCUGCCAUCCCUUGCGCAACAAAACGCAAGCCUUGGCUGGCUGGUCGUAGUUUUUGCGCAGUUCAGUUAACAGACGUUGAUACAACGUUACGCGGGGUAUGCGCAGAGUCUUAACCUACACCCACUACAUUUCUCCUCAGUCCUCUCUAUAAAUAGCUUUUCUCUUUUACUUUUGGUUUCCCUCUUCUUUCAAAAUCAUCACCGAAUCAACAAAUAAUCUUUCGCUCUGUCACUCACUAACUAAAUAUCACGAAACGAUCAAAAAUUAGCAAAUUAAUGGCUACUUUCGGUGCUGCUGCCGUUGCCACCAAUCAAAACCCUAACAAGUCCAUCGAGGUAUACUUUAUUUAUUAUUUUCUUUAUUCUUUUUUCUUUCCGAUAAUCUUUAAAAAUUAUUGACCUUUAAAUUUUCUUGUCGGUUUCUUGUGAAUGAUGAACUUGGCGACUGUUGAAUUAAUGCUUAUGAUGAUGUUGUAAGGAUUAAGUAGAAACAUAUAGAACUUAUUUAUUAUAUAUUUUUGUCAGGUUUAAGCUUAAUUGUUUGUGUUAAUGUAAAAAUUAAUUGUACAUUUUCGGAUAAAGAAUUAUUUUUUGUUUUAAUGCUAAAUACGUAUGCUAAGCUAUGAUCAUUUGUUUGCUUGCUUUCUUGCUGAACGGAUUGUUGAAAGUGAACCAAUCGCUAAGCUUGUGAAUGUGUUGGAGUUUCAGUGUAAAAGAACAGUAGUUAGUAAGGAUUCUCAACCAUGAAAAUCCCUGUCACACCUACAAAUGCAAAUGGUUACUGUUAUAGCAUCAAUUUCGCAUGACCAUCCGGUAAUCUAAAGCAAGAUUUGUGGUAGUUAGAAUACCAUACUGUUGAAUUUGUGAUUGCUGAUAAUUUAACCUUUUUCUUGUCUUCCAAAUUUGAAGGUCCUAUGCUCAACAUUGAAGGAUGAUGGAAUUACUGUCUUCUCUGGAGGAUGUGACAAGCAGGUCAAGACAUGGCCUUUACUCUCUGGUGGUCAGCCAGUGAUUGUGGCUAUGCAUGAUGCGCCAAUUAAAACAAUACGGCUCCUAUAAGGAACCGAACCCCAAGAUAGGAGCCGAACCCCAAGAAAAGUAAGGAUUCUCAACCAUGAAAAUCCCUGUCACACCUACAAAUGCAAAUGGUUACUGUUAUAGCCUAAAGUUUCAGUAUGCAUGCAUAGGUCGUAUUAGUAUGAAUAGCAGAGACACAAACCAGAAGUAGAAUUUUACAUGAAAUAAGAAUUGUUGAAACACAUGUGGAAGGCUUGUGAUGGAGAAAAUUGUGUGAAAUAAAAUUUGGAUAUGUACUGAAAAUUGCAUAAAAAUAAGUACAAGAUGCAGAGAAAUGAAAAAAAUAUCCUCUGUUGCAGUGAUUAUAUUUGCUAUAUAGUUAGUAAUGUGUGUGCGCAUACCAGUGUUGGGUUGGGAUAGGAUACAUAUUAUAAUGUCCAAGUAAUGAAUGUAGGGUUACUAAUUUUGUGUACACAUGAAAGUUGGGUUGCAGUGAUCUGAACCAUAACUGUUUAAAAUGAAAUUGUGCCAAUGGCCGCCUCGAUAACUUGUAAAGUCGAUUGAUAUCCAUUGACAAUUUGACUUCUUAGUUGUCCAAAAAAAAAAAAAAUGAAAGAAAGACUUAUUGAAUCUUCAUCACUGCUGCUUGAUGGUAGUCGCAAGAAGUCCUGUGCAGCAGCAGGAGUUGUGGCCGAGUAUAGACUGAUCUGAAAUGGUUUAAAAAUGUGAAAUAGUUAACCGAAUGGAUUGUUUUACUUGUAAAUCUUCUCAACUAACCAGCCACAAAGAUUCCUCUUUAGCCUGCCACAGUUCAGUUGUAACAAACUACCACAGCCCAUUUCACAAACAGCCACUCUUUGUUCAUCUGUAAGUUGUGAAACUGCUGCAGCUAAUCUAUCUGGAGCACAUCUUGUCAGGAACUUUGCCUUCCCCAUGUUUGACUUCCCUACUCGUUUGGCCUCACUUUUGUACUGACACUUUUCCUUCGGUGGCAAAUUCUUAUACGUGGAUCCAAUUUCCUUUCGAAUCUACAACAUAAUCAUGGUAACCCAAAUGACGCACAACUCCACCACUGCAAUAUCAUCGUAUCACAACCGAAAUAAUUAGUCAAAACCUAUACUACCACUCAACUAUUACUAAGUUAUGAUAAUUUAUUUAUUUUUCCAUUAACAUAGCUUAGAAAUAUCUUAUGAACCCAUUGAGGCACUGCCUUUUUCUUCCCCCAUCAAUGCUUGCAUCAUCACCAACCACUUCAGUUCCUCAGUUAAUCUCACAUUCCUUCUGCUUAUUACUUCCCACCACCUUCAUUCCUGAAAUUCAGUGACAGUUAUUUCUUACCAUCAAAAUACGCUUUAUAGCACCAUAUAAAUACAUUACUAAUUCACCAUAUAAACACAAAUACAUAUCAAUUACGUUACCAUCCCCAAACGAAACUAACAAAAACAUUUCAUAUCAACUCCACAAAAAAGAUAUACAAAUUCAGCUGGUGCAUGUACCAUUACCCUCAUGUCAUCAGCUUCAUGCUUGUGAUUCACGUCAUUUAAAUAUUUGCUGCAAUUUCACCUUUCCGGUUACUAAUUUUCCACACAUGUUCACUAUAAACUUAUUAUGCAAACAUUUAUUAUCUAAAUUUAAAUAAUUCAGUAGGAUUGACAAUUGACAUGUCACAUGUCGGGUGCUUCUAUGAAAUUCUAUUCCAAGGCACAGUCAUGACUAAGCUCAAGAAAGGGACAGCAAAUGCCGCCGACACACUCAAGUUACCGAGCAUAACACCAAGCUCCUUCUCUAUCCUACUGCUUUAAAUAAGCCGUAUUGAACUGUGCUAAAUAAUCCCCAAAUAAUUUCGAUAAUUAUUGGCCUCUACUCAAUUUUUCAAUCUUUGUACGACAUAUAUUUUGCAACCAUGUAUAUGCAAAACAAUUCAUUAUUCAACUGGGUUCAAUAUUUCAAUUCAACCACCAACUACGUUGUUCAGCACAUAUCCUUAAAUUAAAUUUUAAUUUUUUUCCAUGUACUCCCAAAUUUUCCCAUUAUCCAAACGAAACGUUAAAUUUCCACCAGCCACUUAAUCAGCGACAAAUAAUUCCUAUCACUAAUCUCAAAUUCAAAUUACACUGACCUUUAAUUUUGUUAACCCAAUCCCUUAUGCUUCAUUCAAUACUGCCAUGACAAGCUACAAGUCACCACAAGCCAAUUCAAAAAUCCCACACGAGAGCGCUGCCCCAGCCGCAGUUACACCUUGCCCGCUUCAAUUUCCUUGCGUCUGAGAAACCGCAGUCAUCGAUCAAAAUGGCCAAUAAGGGUUUACAGCUCCUAAAACUAAUCUUGUACAAAGAAGCUGGUUUGGAUGGUUGCCCACUGUAAUUGACUUUUACCCUUUUCAAACCUCAUCCCUUGGAUUAAAUUAAUUAUAAUGUAACGGCUACAGUGGAUAACGACAAAAAAAAGGGGCACGGUAGCUGGGAAAUAGGAUCCUCUCCUAAUCUGAGCUCUACUGAGCUUUUAAAGAUGUUCUGCCAUGUGGUUUUUAGUAAUAGUGCAUGAAUAAGAUUGAACUUAUUUUACUUUUUUAUUUAUUAACUACCAAUCAGCAAUUAAGUUAUUUGCUCGCAGCAUGAUCAAAUAAGAUCCUCUCAUAAUCUGAGCUCUACUCAGCUUUUAAAAAUUUUCUGCUAUGUGUUUUUUAGUGGUAGUGCAUGGAUAAGAUUGAACUUUUUUUACUUUUUUUUUAUUAACUACCAAUCAGCAAUUAAGUUAUUUGCUCGGAACAUGAUCAGAUCAGGAGAGAAUCCUACUCCUAGUAGCUGGUCCCUAGUUAAUGGGGUGCUCGAGUUUUUCUAGACUACUUUUUUUUUUUUUACGAAAUUCUUACAAUUUACAAAUCUACUAAAACUCUCAAAAUAUACUCUCACUAACAUGCACAGAGAAAUCUAUCAUUUUCUGAAAGAAAUGAGUUUGUAAGACUCGAACCCACUCCCUUAACAUAUUUUGAGGAUGCAAGUGCCAUUAUUCUAGAAGCGCAAAUGCAAAAGUGGUUUCAGACUUGAAAAGUCAAAAGUAAAUUUCCAAAAGUCAAGGUACUUAGAAGUUUUUACCGAUAUUAUCACAAAGUUAAUCUUACAAAUUGUAUACUAGACGAAUGGUCUCUAAAAUUUAUAAUUAAUCUAAAAAUUUUGAAUAACAUCAUUAAAAGAUUUUCUUUUCAAAUAUUUCUAUCUAAUUAAUUUUUUAUCCUUACCUAAAUAAAACUUACUAAUUAGUAUUACUAUUCAUCUUUAUAACUUGUGGCUAUAUAUUAGUAUUUCUUUAAUUUUCUUCAAAUUAGCAUUAUCUAUCUUCAUAAUUUUUUAUGAGUAUUUUAUAUAUGAAACAUCAUAAAUUUUAUUCAUCAUAAAUUGUAAUAAAAUUUAUUAAGAUGUUCUAAUUUAAAAUAUUAAAGGUUUAUAUUCACUUGAACAUGAUUCAUGUUAUAAUAAAAUACUAUCUUAUUUAUAUUCUUUGAGAUUUUAUUAUUUAUUUAUUAUUUAAAAUUUAUAAGGGCAAGAUUGUAAAAGUAUUAGUUUUAAGACUUUUUAAGUUAAAAAAUAAAGAACUCAAUAAUUAUUUUGAAAGAUUCAAACGAAAACGAAAUAUGCCAUUCAAAUUCAGGCAUUUAGCUUUGUUUAGAUUUCAAGCCAAUUCAUAUUUAUUUAGAUUUCAAACAAAAAACAAUCGUCAUACUUCUUCACCAAAUGUCAAGUAAUUAAUUAAUUUGGGACUUUGUCUAUCUUUUCUAAUUUUUAUUUGAAUUUUUUGAAAUUGAGUCUUAAUUUUCUACUGCUACAACUAAAGUUUAGCAAACAUUGACUUUGAAUUGCCUGUAUAUAUCUACGUAGGCGCCAAUUUGAAGAUAAAGAUUGACUCAAAAUAAAUAACAAAUAACACUUACAGGUCCUUUCACUACAACUGAACUCUCUCGUCAGUCAUGAUAGGUGUAGACUUGGAAACUAAAAGUCUUCUAUAGGUGGAGAAGUCUUGUAUCUAACUUGUGAUAUAUUGUUAAAAAGGAGUCUAUGACUAUUUCAAUAGAUCUUAUUUAGUUAUUCUUUUCCCAAAAAAUUAUCGAAGCAAAUCGGUCGAUUAAUGAAUCAAUGUUUAUGCGUCGGCACGGUAGACUAGGGAUGCCAAUCUGGGUUUAUUCGAUUCAAUUUAAUGUGAAUUAAAUGAGUUUGAGUUUGAACAAAUUAAUUCGUUUAAUAAAUAGGUAAAUUCAAUACGAUUCAUUAGUUAAACAAAUUGAAUUCAGGUUUUAUUCAUUCAGGGUUCAUUUAAUAAAUACGUCAUAAACGAAUUAAAUACGAUCCAUUUAUUUAAAAUUAAUUUGAUUAAAUUACUUAUUUUCUUUAAAUAUGUAUGAAAAAUUUUAAAAUUUCAAAGCUAUUAUAGUAAUUAUAAAUGAUAAUAAGACAAAAUAUAUAGUAAUUCGAUUCGUUAUGGAUUCAUUAUAGAAUAAAUGAGUAGUAAAUAAAUUCAUAUUUGAUUCGAUUCAUUUAUUAGUUCUACUAAACGAAUUAAAUUAAUCAAAUCGAAUAUUGUUUAAUAAACAAAUCAAAUUCAAAUCCUGAGGUUUGCUUAAUAAAUGAAUCAAAUCCAAAUCAAUAGUGUUUUGACCCAAUUUGUUUACGAUUCAAUUUAAAUUUGAUUCAUUUAUUCAUUUUGCCGCCCUUGCAAAACUUAAUAUUAAUCUCAGCCUCAUUUAUUUUAUAUGUUCUGAAGAAAAAUCUUAAAGACCUUGUCACUUUCUAAUUAAUUAUUUCUUACAAAGAUGGCCCAAGGAAAUUAUGUACACCCCAACGUAUAAGUUGGGAGGUGCAAGUAGAAAUUAACUAUAAAGCAGCUGAGGAGGACUUCUGGUCUGCAGGAAAACAACCGACCACCAAUUUUGUGGCAUGAAAAUAGUGAAUGAGAUUGUAGAUAAAAUUUAAAUGAAUGAGAUGGUGUGGAUAGUACAUGAUAAAGUUAAUUUCAUUUUUUUUUAUCAUUAAUCCUUUUUUUUUAUUUGGGUGUUAAUUAAUUGAGUUGGUUAAUUUUUUUUUUUGUCUUAAAAAUAAGAUGUUUGAGGUUCCAAAAAUAUGUGAGGAGGAAAUUGAAUUGUUUUUUAGCUUAAAGGAACAACAUAAUUUAAAUUUUGAAUAAGACUUCAGUGCUGAGCUAUUUUUUGUUGAAUUAUUGACAAGUAAAAUAUAAAAUUAAAAAUAAAAAUAAAUCUUGACCAAUGAUUCCAUACUGAAUCCUAAUCUAUCAAUUUUUGCUUGACACUCUACAAAAGUUCAAACUAAUUACUUAGAAGGAUAAUGGAGAAAAAAAUUGAAAGCUAUGGUUAAAUGCCAAUAAUUGACAAUAAAACAUUGGUGCAGAUACAAGCAUAAAAGUGCUUUCAUACGGUUUGAUCUUCUAGAUUCUACUUUCUACUCUUAUAAACUUAUAAGUGAUCAUGAACUGCAUGAGUCUAUUAUCCACAGCGUAGAGUUGGUCAUAGACAACCUUGCACUUAAUAAUUUGAAACAAAAUGUCUUGCUACAACUAAAAUCUAGCAUGGACUCUCGAAGAUUAAUUAUCUAUGAAAUAUUGACCAGCUUGUGGCCAAUUUAGAGAAAAAGAUUGUCAUCGUAGACCGUUCACGUCAACUGUAAACUCCGCUCAUCAGUGAUGAUAGGUGUUAGAGUUGGAAACUAGAGUUUUCGUGUACGUGAAGAAGUCUUAUAUUUAAAUGUUUCUGUAGGUAAUUCCAUAAAAAGUAAUGAUAUAGGUACAAAUUCUUGCACAAACUUAUUUUAUACAAACUAAUGUGACGUUAAUUAAUUGGUUGAAUUAAAUAUCUCUGAGCCCACAUAAUUUAUUUAUAUUAUUUUAUAUUUUCAUUCAACCAAUGAAUUAAUACUACAUCAGUUUGUACAAGAGUUUGUGAUUGUAUCAUCACUCUUCCAUAAAACUAACUAGUGACAUAUUUAUUAAAUUACUUUUUUAUGACUACCUUUGAUCAUAGGAUUGUUUGAUCAUAGGAUUGUUUACUAGUCUUAUAUUUAAGUCCUCUUUGGCUUUUUUCUAAAUACAUGAACUAUACACGUCACAACAUUUGGAAUAAUCAUUUGAUCGAUCUCAAUGGAUCGUUUUGCAAUCUUCAUUAUUGUUGUUCUCUUGGUGUCUGCUGUCUUCUUGAUAUUAGCAUGUAAGAGAUUGUAACAUUUUCAUAUUUUGGUUUGACAUUCUUGAAUAAAAAGGCUUGCCCUUUUUUAAGAAAACUGCUAACCGUUUAAUCCCAGAGAGCAUGUUUUCUUUUCUACAGAAAACGGCUAACUGUUUGGAGAAAACGGCUAACUGUUUGGAGAAAACGGCUAACCAUUUAGUUCAAAAGUUAUUUGAAAGUUGACAUUCUGGAAGAAAAUGGUUAGCCAUUAGAAAACGGCUCGCCGUUAUUGAGAAAAUGGCUAACCAUUUUCUUCCAGAGAGCGUGUUUUGGCAUCAACUGAAAAAAAAAGGCUAGUAGGUUUUGAGGAAAAAGAAAAACCGGUUGUGAAUAGAUGCAAAUUUCAAACCAAAGAGUGUCUUUGAAGAAGUACCGUUUCUAAUGGUUGUAAUUUUUCAUAAAAAUAAUUUCUUCAUUAAAUUAGACACUCAUAUUAAAAAAAAAAACUGGAUUAUUACAGAUUUCAUGUGUGUUCUUGAAAUACAAUCUUAUUUGCUAGAGAUUGUAUUCAGGAUUUGAUAAAUCUUGGGGGUAAUUUGCCAUUAAACUCUAUAACAAAUUAAGAGUGGUGAGGGGAAAUAAAACCUUAAAGAAAAGUGUAUAAACACGUCUCAAAUCCUAAGAAAGUUUCCUUGUUCUUUGCCUCCAUAUUUGAAGAUCCACCAACAUAGCAUUCAUUUCUGGUUUAUCUAAUGGAGUAGAUUGAGUUCGUCUUGUUUUCCUUGUCGAUCACUCUGGCAGCAGUGGCCACUUUAGGCAUGAUUUUCUAUUGUGUGAGGAGAAAGCCCAGAAGCAGAGGUAAAAGUUCUCAUUUAAUCGCACGAUUUUGAGAGUCUAAUAUGCUAACAUACAUAUACAUAUCGUAAUUAAAGCUUUAGUUUCUUCACCCUUCAGGAGAGGAUUUGAUCAUGUUUGAUUUGGAUUUGAACCUGAAAGCCAACACGUUAACAUAGAGCUUCCUGUAAACAGUAAUCUGACAAAAAGAAGCAAAAAGAAGGAAGUUGAUCAAAUGCCUUUAUUCAGUUUUUCCAGUGUUUCUACUGCAACAAAUAAAUUCUCCGACGCAAAUAAGCUCGGAGAGGGCGGCUUUGGACCCGUUUAUAAGGUACUACAGAUAUCAUUUUCUUUGGAGCGCUAAUUUCAUUUUUAACAGAACUAUAAAUUUACCAUCUGCAGGGAGUGUUAAAAAAUGGAGACGAGAUAGCUGUGAAACGGCUUUCAGGAAGAUCUGGACAAGGAUUGCGAGAGUUAAAAAAUAAGCUUCGGUGAUAGCCAAGGUUCAGCACAAGAAUCUGGUUAGACUUUUGGGCUGCUGCAUAGAUAAAGACGAGAAGAUUCUGAUCUAUGAGUACAUGCCUAACAAAAGCUUGGACUUCUUUCUUUUCGGUUAGUUAUUGCAUCUGUUAAUUUAUUUUUCUUACAUAUUCCUCUCUUCAAAUUUUAUAUUCAAAUUUUAUGCAUACAUUUGUUUGAACUACUAUUUAAUAUAAAAUUAUAUAUCAAAAAUUUAUUUAAACUAGAAUUUAGUCCAUGUUACUUAUCCAAAUUUUAUUCAUUAAUUUAUUUAAAAUAGCAUUUAGCAUUUAAUUUAAGAUUAAAUAUCAAAAUUAUUCAAUUUUUAAUUUAUAUUGAAAUUGAAUAUCUAAAAGAAUAUUUAAUAAUUAACAAUAUAACUUUAAGAAAUAAUCAUACUUUUUAAAUAGUUUUUUUAACUUCCUUAAAUUGAAUUUAAUAUGAUCCUGUCCAACACUAAACCAAAUACAAGACAUUACUAUAAAAUAAUUUAGUCUAAUUCAAUCCAAUUCAAUCUUAAUAACUAGUCCAAUCCAAUCCUUUAUUUUGCAACAAACCUAACCUAAAAGAAUAUUUAGUAUUUUCUAUUUCAUGUAGCUAUUUUUAAGUUUAAUGAUUAACACAAUCGAAUUAUCAGAUUUUAAAAAAAAAAUUAAGUUGCUAGAUCAAUUUACAUCAAAUUAUGUGGUCUACAUUUUUUUGUUUUCAUGCAUAAUGACAUUUAGUCUUUUUGUUGUAAAUUAGAUCCAACCAAGUGAAUGUUAUUAGAUUGGGUAACACGUGUUCGGAUUAUUGAAGGGAUAGCUCAAGGGCUUCUUUAUCUUCAUCAAUAUUCCAGAGUGCGAAUUAUUCAUCGAGAUUUAAAAGUUAGUAAUAUCUUGUUAGAUAAAGAUAUGAAUCCCAAAAUAUCAGAUUUUGGAAUAGCAAGAAUUUGCAGAGGAAAUGAGUUACAAGCAAACACCGGUAGGAUCGUCGGGACAUAGUAAGUAAAUGACAAAAAUCAAAAUUAAAGUGAUUAAUUAGUUAUGCGUGAAUUGCUGAUUAUUAUUUAUUGAUUGUUGAAUUACAGUCGUUAUAUGUCCCCUGAAUACGCAAUCCAAGGAAUAUUUUCAAUUAAAUCUGAAUGUGUUUAGCUUUGGAGUAUUGUUGCUCGAGAUUGUAAGUGGCAAUAUCGAACCUACUCUUUCACUCUGCUAGGUUAUGUAAGUAACAAAAGCCGUUGCACAUAUAUAUUCUUUUUUAUAUUACUAAUUAGGUGAAAAUAUAUAUGAAUUCCCAAGCGUGGACACGCACAAUGUGAAAACGUUUGGAUUUUUGCACCUGACUAUUUUUAAACUAUUCUCUAUAUCGAGUGUAGGACUAUCUAAUGACAUCGUAUGGUUGUUUAGGCAUGGGAUCUGUGGACAAGCAACAGGACAUUGGAGUUGAUUGAUCCAAUAUUAGAAGAUGAAUAUUCCUCCAAGCCUAUGCUUUUAAGAUAUGUGAACAUAGCUCUCCUUUGUGUACAAGAAAGUGCUGAUGAUAGACCCACCAUGAAUGAUGUUGUAUCCAUGCUUACAAAUGAAGCUGCAGCAUUGCUUCCUCCAAAACAACCUGCUUUUUCGUAUGUAAGAAAUACAGUCACUUCAACAUCGUCCACCGGCAAGACAGAAGAAGCGCGCUAGCUUUUAUUUUAAUGUGUAUCGAGUCACUUCAAAAUCUUGAGUGCUAGCUGUUAGCCUUCUCUUCCCGUUCAUUUUAUACCGUGCAUGUGUCUUUCAGUCAGUCAUUAUAAUUAAAUGUAAUAAUGCGAGAAGCGAAUACAAUCAUGGGUUGGCUCUUCUUAGACCAAUAAAAUCACUAUCAAAUGUUAGCUCUAUCCUUGCAAGACUUUUCGAAGUCUACAGGUCCCGCAAGCAAAUAAAGUUGGUUUUGACGCGAGGACGAAUUGCAUUCAGUCAAUCAUUAGAUUUUUUUUAUUAUAUUAAAAAGUGGAGGAAUGAUCAAAGCUCAAAUUAAUUUUUUAUUUUCUAUUUUCUCCGAGAUUCAAACUUAAUUAGGUGAUCAUCUCAAUGAGACAACUUGAAAACUACGGGGUUGAGCUCCUGAGACUAAUUAUUAGAUAUUAUAUGGAGUAGUGACCCUGAUUUUUAUUGGUUCAACGGGGUCUGAUAUUAUCACGAGUCUGAUAUAUAAAAAGCAAUGCAUGGAACCAUUAUUUUCGUUCAAUGGGAUCAGAAUCAAGAAACUACGAACUCGGCAAGGCAAAAUCAACAAUUUGUAAACCGAGGGAGUGAGAGGAUCAAAACAUAUGUAAAGUCCAAAGAAAUGAACUAAAUUUUAAUUAAUACCCUUAUCUUGCUAUGAAUUAUAUAAUUCUAAUUCAAGAGACACUUUUAAACAAAAUUUUGGACACAAUAUUCUGACCAUUAGAUUAAAGCUAAGCAAGAGUUGAUAUUGAAGCUGACAUGCCUUUUUUAAGUUUUAAAAACUAAAAAUUAAUAUAAUGGAUCCUUAUAUAAUAAUAAAUUAUUGCUCGUUCUUCUCUCUCUUACUUAAUAUUCCCUCUUUUGUCACUUUUUUUUUUCUUUGCUUACCCUUUUUAAGUCUUGCCUACAUUAAUUAGUUUGAACUUUUGCAUGGCAUCAGUGAAAAAACUUAACCGACUGAUAGAGCUGAAAUGGACUUAAAUUUUAUUUUCACUCAUUGACUAUUUUCAGCAAAUUUAUUUUGUCCAUCAAAAUUCGUACCAGAGCCACUACUGAAAGUAGGAUAUGGCUUCCCCUUCAAUGUCUUGUGUAACCCAAAUUGAAUCAAUACAUCUUUAAUUUGAAUUUGUCACAAGCCAAAGUUGAUAUUCCCAACAAAUUCUUCUAUUUCAAUUUUCACUGAACUUGAAAUUUUCAAUCCUGACAUAUUCGCUUUGCAGAUUAGCUUUGCUCUUUAUCAGGGACUAUUUAGAUUGGGUCUCAUUGCUUCACACGAAUAGUGCUGUAUACGUGAACAGUAUCGUAUACAUGAACAGCACCCCUGACACCAAAACUUCAAUCAAUAGCUCUGAUACCACUGUUAGGAAAUUGAGAUUUCUCCCAAGAUCACUCCAAGUAAUUUGUCAAGAAAUAAAUCAAUAGAAAAAUUAAAUUCAAAAUAAUAUCAAUCGCAUAACACAAGAUUUACGUGGAAAACUCCAAAUCUGAAGGAAAACUAUGGCUGUUGUCAAGAGACAACCAGAGAAAAAUAUUCACGAUGUGAAAAAUUAUUACAACCACACUUUCAUAAAUAAUUUACUCUCAGAAAUAAUUUUCUCUCACCCAAGCUCUAAAUACACCCAAAACUCUCAAUUUAAGAGUAAUUAAAUUCAACUCUCAAAUUCUCUCUAAAUAUAAGAGGAAAUGAAUUCUUUGGGAUGAUAAAAUCUUAUGAAAGGCUCUCUUAUUUAUAACCAAGUGGAUAAUACUGUUCAAACCGCAUUACUAUUAAUGUCGCAUUACUGUUCAAGCCGUGUGGUCAAACCGUGUUACUAUUCACCGCAUGGUAAAACCCGAUUGUUGAGUGUUAGAAAAUGUAUAUUUAUAAAGGAGAAAAUCGUCAUUUUACAUCUCAAGUUCCACUAACAUUCCUACUUUUAUGUAUUUAAGUUUCUUGUGAUUUAAUUAUGUGUGUUGUAUUAUAAUUAAGUAUUUUAUGUAUUUUGGGAGCAUCAUAGUCAUUUCACAAUGAACGAGAAAUCAAACGGCUAAACAGACAUCACUUUUGAACUCAGGACAGUCGAAAACCUUAGGAGGAGCAUAAAAGGAAAAAUGUCAUUGUUCACAUGUACGGUACUAUUCACAUGUACGGUAUUGUCUACGUUACUGUUCACGACACUAUUCACAUAGACAGACCGAUGAUGUGGCAUUGACUGAUGAGGUGUCACGAUUCCAUUGGAGAAAAUUCUUAUGCACUGUUGAUCGGUGACGUGGCAGCAUAUUAGUGGACCAAAAAUUACGCGUACGGUACAUGCAUAUAAACAGGAUUAUUUUCAACCAAACCGCGUCACUGUUCAAGUCGGUUGACUGUUCAAACCGCGUACUGUUGACUGAUGACGUGGCGCAAUUCUGAACGUCCAAACUAUUUUUAAUCUGAUAGUCAUGAUUUACUCAAUGUAUCUAUAAAAAAAGGGCCUCCUCCCCUAAUUUGGCAUCUCUCUGAAUCCAUUUUUGGGCUCCAUUUUUUGUAAUUCCUUCUUCAUCUUGUAUUUUCUACGUAUUUUAAUAAAUUCUCAUUUUGCCCUUAGUUCAAUUAUGAGUAGCUAAUUUUCUUUCAAGCUUGGGUUGAAGGUGAAGUCUCAACAUGUGUCAUGGGCUUUAUUUGAUAAAUUUAAUUUCUCUUCCCCUCUAAUUAUUGUGGAUGUUUUGACUUUUCCUUGACAAAUAGUAAUAAUCUUGUCUAGAUACCGCCCUAGUUUCACCGGCUCCCUAGUACGAGAUUAUUAUUAUUUGGCACAAUAAGCCCUUAGCACCAUAUUGAUUAGAGCGUGGUUCAUGAGUUGUGGAUUCCCCCCCUCAUGAUUUAAUUGACACUAAUAAGGAAUAUUUAGCCCAUGGUACAUGUUGAUGCGGAUUCAGAUACCCAAGUGCUUCAAUUAUUAUAGUUUUUGCUUCAAUUUAUUCUCGUCAUUUUAAUUCAAAUUCUAAGAUAGUCUAAAUCACUUUCACCAUAAAACCAACCAGCCAUUUAGAAAAAUUAAUUUUACACACAAUUAAAAUCCACAUCCUCGUGGGAUCAACACUCGUCACCAAUGAUCUAUUCUAUAAUAGAUUCGUGCACUUGCGAGUUCAAUAAAAUUUGCACAACAUCUAUUUUUAACAAUUCUCCCACUUGAAGAUUAGAAUGAGAACCAAUCAAUCUCCACGCCAUUCUUACUAUUUUCACCUUAGUCAUAAUCCUCAAUAAAGAGAAUUAUCAUACUCUACUAUAAAGAGUAUACCACUUAGAAUUAAUUACCAAUUUUAGGAAUUUUACAUCGGCUCAUGUCGAAAUAUUCUGCUGAAAUUUAUGGUGCAACUUUCUUGUUGGCUUUCCUGGAAGUUUUUCAGCCAUCAACAUAAAUUCCACCACACACCCUACAACAAUGCCAACCAUGCAUUGUGUGCAAAUCUUGCGGACCCGCUAGCAGUGACACAUCCACUUCCAUAACACUAGCAGCAUACCAUAGAGAUGUCAUCAUCAUUUAUUUUACAAGGGAGCAUCAUCUCCCAUAAUAAUGAGAGACUUACCACUAGCAAUGCUAUCAGUAUCUUAUUUGGAGCCAGUUGCCGACCCUGCUUCAUUUCUCCUAUGACAGUCUCUUUUUAGGUGCCCUAAUUGUCCACACCCCCAAUAGACUCCUUUGUUCUUAAAUUUAUCUUUCUUCCAAUUGCCAAAGCCGAGACAUCUGUAGUUUCAGUAUUUUCACCACUCAGUCUUCUUUCUUCCAAGAGUAAAGUAGUAGCAACUUCUUCAACAUAUAUUGUCUCAUUCACAUACAUUAAGUAAGUGAUAGGUGUUUGUAGGAAGUUGGAAGUGACCAUAGCAGCCUAAGCAUCUUGUCCUCAUCUUCAAUUUUAACUUCAAUGGCUUCUAGUUCUGUCAUAAUACUAUUGAGAACAUUGAGGUGAUCAGAAAUUUUUGUUCCUUCAACCAUUCGCAGCGUGUGAAAUUACUUCUUCAGGUACAAUCGAUUUGGGAUGCUCUUUGUCUGAUAUAAUUUUUUUAGCCUCUCUCAAAGCUCUUUCACUAUAGGAAUAUUUCCUACAUUUGCAAAAACAUUCUUUGCUAGACAUAGUCAUAUGGAACUUGCAAUUCUAUCAUCCAACUCUUCCCAAUCUUCAUCGCUGAUACUAGCUUUUAGAGAGCCACUACUAGAAGCAGGGGAUGGCUUCCCCUUUAAUGCCUUAUGUAACCCAGAUUGAAUCAACACAUCCUUAACUUAAAUUUGUCAUAAGACAAAGUUGAUUUUCCUAUCAAAAUUUUCUAUUUCAAUUUUCACUGAACUUGAAAAUUUCAAUUCUGACAUAUUUGGUUUGCAUAUUAGCUUUGCUAUUUAUCACAGACAAUUUAGAUUGGCUCCCAUUACUUCAGGUGAACAAUACCGUAUACGUGAUAGUACCCCUGAUAACUCUAGGAAAUGAGAGUUAUUACAUCAAUUCUAAACUUGAAUCAAGAUCACUUAGAGAAUAAAUAAGGUGUUUUUAUUACAUUUUGGUUGCAUUUUCCAUAAACAUUCAUUUUAGUCGAGUCUUAAUAAGUUUGCUUGAAUCAAAGUAAUUUGUGCUAAAAACAAGUGCAUAAUUGUAGGUUCUCAGAAAGUCGUAAUAUAUGAGGGGAUGUUGAGACUGUAGAUGAGCAAGAGGAGGAAAGAAGAUGGCCACAAAAGAAGAAAAGCACAAUCAGGAAUAAUGCAGUGCUGUUGAGGAUGUUAGAGCAACCUGUGUUGUAGCAAUCUGGGAGCAAUGCGGGAGAAAACUUAGGCGCGGGUCAGCACAUGUUUCCUAAUUUAACGCAUGCAUGCUAAUAGGGCUUGUGUUUACCCUAAAUUGCAAUAUAAAAGGUAGGCAUGCACCACAUAGAAAUGCGGCAAGGGAAUCAUUAGAAUAAUUACAAAGGAAAAGAAGAAGAAGAUCGGAAUUGAAGAGUGUUGUUUUCGGCAACAUUGGAGAAUAAUGCAGAAUUACUUGGAUUUGUUUUUCACCGUGCUCAACUUAUAUUUAUCUUCUUCCUUUAAUUGUUUUGAUGUAUUCCGAGAUCAAAAUAUUUAUGUUUAUUUUUCUCUUUCAGAUUAUAAACUAAAUUUACUUGUAGUUGAGUGACAAAUAAUCCAAUAGGUUCUUGAUUGUUCUUAUAUGUUGUGAUGGCACUGUUGUAGCAUUUUACUCUAGUAGUUUUGUAUAAAUAUAAUUGUUAUUUCGAUUGACCACCUAUUUAAUAGUUUCAGUUAGGAUAGAGCAGCAAAAGGGCAUGUCUUAGCGGAUAUUAUUAGAGUACUACUUGAUCUUACGUUGAGUUUCCUGGAUUAAGUUAUCUUGAAUCCCAUAAGGGCAAUACUUGAAGUUAAGAUUUGUGACACACUAGAUAUAGGUGUUCACCUUGUAGGGUGGAGAGAUUGAAGGUUAUAAUGCUGUACCACAACCAUAUUAGCAACUGGUCAUUGUUAAUAGAUUUAAUGGUAUGAGACAUCCAACAUGCGAUAGCUGAAGAUGCAAGUUUAUUCUGCCCAGUGCUGCAGCACUUGUUGUAACAACUGGUGCUAACUUGAUAAACAACAGUCACCCCAUUAGAAGAAUUUGAUCAUUCAACUACUAUAAUCCCAAUUGAAUCUUAGACACAUUUAACUUAGUUUAUUUCGUUACGGUAUUAUUUUAUUUAAUUCUUUCACAAUCCUCAAUUACUUUGGAAAUUACUUUACAAUUGUUUAUUUCGGUCCUAAGUUGAUUUGCACUAUUGUGAUUGCUUUAAUAUUUUGAGUAACAUCAAUCCAUGUGGAGACGAUCUUAAAUACUUAUCACUUUAUUACUUGUUGUGUAUACUUGCACAUUGGCAUUGGUAGUAAUUGUUGUGUAAAUUUUAAUGUACUCGCAAGCGCAUGAAUCUAUUGUAGUAUAGAUCAAUGGUGACGAGUGUCGAUCCCAUGAGGAGGUGGAUUUUAAUUAUGUGUAGAAUUAAUUUUGCAAAUGGGUGGUUUAGAUUUGUGGUGCAAGUGAAUUAAAUUAUUCUAAAAUUGGAAUUAAAAUGGCGAGAAGAAAUUGAAGAGAAAAUUACUAUGUUUGAAGCGCUUGAGUAGCUGGAUCCGUAUCAACAUGCACCAUGGGCUAAAUAUUCCUUAUUAAUACCAAUUAAAUCAUGAGGGGGGAAUCCACUCCUCAUGAACCACGCUCUAAUCAAUAUGGUGCUAAGGGCUUAUCGUGCCAAAUAAUAAUAACCUUGUACUAGAGGGCCGGUGAAACCAAGGCGGUACUAGACAAUAUUAGUAUUAUUUGUCGACGAGAAGUCAAAACACCCACAAAAACUAGAGGGGAAGAGAAAAUAAAUUUACCAAAUUAAGCCCAUGACACAUGUUGAGACUUCACCUUCAACCCAAGCUUGAAAGGAAAUUAGCUACUCAUAAUUGAACUAGGGGCAAAAUGGAAAUUUAUUAAAAUAUGAAGAAAAUACAAGAUAGAGAAGGAAUUACAGAAAAUGGAUCCCAAAAAUGGAUUCAGAGAUAUCAAAUUAGGGGGGAGAGGCCCCCUUUUUAUAGAUACAUGGAGUAAAUCAUGGCCAUCGGAUUAAAAACAGUUUGGACGCUCAGGAUUGCGCCACGUCAUCAGUCAACAGUACGCGGUUUGACCACGCGGAUGAACAGUAAUACGGUUUGACCCGGAUGAACAGUAACGCGGUUUGGUUGAAAAUAAUCCUGUGUGAUGCAUGUACCGUACGUGAGAUUUUUCGUCCACUGAUAUGCUGCCACGUCACCAUCAACAGUACAUAAGAAUUUUAGCCCAACAGGAUCGUGACACCUCAUCAGUCAAUGCCACGUCAUCGAUCCGUCUAUGUGAACAGUGUCGUGAACAGUAACGUAGACAGUACCGUACACGUGAAUAGUACCGUACAUGUGAAUAGUACAAUUUUUCCUUUUAUGCUCCUCCUAAGGUUUUCGACCGUCCUGAGUUCAAAAGUGAUGUCCCAUUUUGCCGUCUGAUCUCUCCUUUAUUGUGAAAUGACUAUAAUGCCCCUAAAAUACAUAAAAUACUUAAUUAAAAUAAAACACAUGUAAUUAAAUCACAAAAAGGUUAAAUACAUAAAAGUAAGGGUUGUUAGUAAGACUUGAAAUGUCAAAUGACGGUUUUCUCCUUUAUAAAUAUGCAUUUUCUAACACUUAACACACCCCCCAACCAGCUUAUUGCUAGUCCCUAGCAAAUAAAGCAAAAACAAAAUUCAAAUUCAAAAUGAUAUAUAUAUAUUUUUUUUAGAAACACUCGUGUUUAUUCAAUCAGAUUAAUGAUAGCAAUCAAAUAAAAGUAUAAGCAUUAUCUCCAGUCUAAAGCAACAUCACACCCACAUCAACCAUCCACAUGAAUCAGCCCAAUAGACUUUGUUAUAGCUACUUUCAAGAAUGACAUGUCAAACCCCAAAAUCUCAGUGGAAGUAGUGACACUCUCACAAAGAAAUUAAACCCAAUAAAAAUAGUCACUCCAAUAAAUGGUAAUUGAGAGAAAAUAAUGAAGAAGUGAUAUCACAUGCUCUCACCAAGAUAAAAUAAAUAUGCCCUCAGCUUAGAAAUAAUACGAUCUCAAGUCAAAUAAAAACUGUUAGUCAACCCAAUUUAUUUAUUUAUUAUUUUUUUUAUAUUUACCACUACAUCUUUUUAGCCCACAUAACUAGCUUCUACUUCAAAUUAUACUUCCCUAAAAUCAGGAAGGACUUUUAUUAGGAUGUAACGUAGGCUAGGGACAUGGUUAACAAAGAAGGGAAAUAAGGAAAACAAAGUGUAUGUUUGAGAAAAAUGCAGAAUUUUUUUUUUUUUGGAAGUUGCAAGGUGGAUUUCACCUAUUAUUGUUAUUUUUUUUUUGUUUUUGCUCGGCACAACGUCACUAAAUAAAAUAAUUAUUUACAUUUUCUCAAACAUAAAUAGGUGAUGGAACUUAUAAGACAUCGGGUAAUACUCCAAAUCGGAGUGGGUCAAGAUGAUAAGUUGACAAAGAAAAGGUUUUUUUUUUUUUUUUAAAGGCUCAAAAGGGUUAACUAUGGAUAUUUAAUAAAAAGGAUGGCUAGAAAGGCUCAAACGGAUCAAAGAUGGCCUUUCCAUCGUCUUUUAGGGCUCUAAAUAAUCAUCCAUAUCUACUAGUUAGAUGGGCCUCCAAAUAUAGCAACACACAUUUUUUUCUUUCUUUUUUUUUUAAUUUUACAAUUUUUUUUAAGGGUUAACUCAAAAGAAAUCUAGAGAUCGUGUAUACAAUAAUAAACUGUUAAGUUGUAUAAAGAAUGGGCAAAAGGGUUAAUCAUGUCAUCCAACAAAUCACACAAAUUUUUUUUUUUAAACAACAUUCUACCCCCCCAACCUAUUCUAAGCAUGAAAGGAAAAUAUGCAUGCAGAAAUGUGAAAAUGAUGCAUAAAAACUAAUUAAAAACAAAUUACACGUAAAAUGAUAGAAAACGAAAAUGGUUUUUUUUUUUUAAGAAGAUGCGUUUCUAGAGGCACUACACUCCAUAUUCAGCCAUCUUCGACUCACAAGUUGGAAAAUGUAUAUUUAUAGAGGAGAAAUUAAAAAGAAGAAAAAUAAACAUAAAAACAUAAUAAAUAAAAAGAAAAUGUCUGAAAUUUUUUUUUUAGUAUUUUAUUUUAUUUUUUAAAACGAUGAAGAUGCGUUUCUAGAGUCACUACACUCCAUAUUCAGCCAUCUUCAACACAAAAAGUUAGCAACAGUUAGUUUCUACAACAAAAAAUUAGUAAAAACUUAAUCAAAAUUCCACAAUUGUCGACUAUUCCCUCCCCCCAACCAGAACGAAACAUUGUCCUCAAUGUUUGAAAGGAAAGAAGUAGAGUUUAAAAGACAUCACUUGGGUGGUGCAACACAGAAGAAAAUAUUUAAAAGCGGAGAGUUAAAUCUAAUUUGUACUUCUCAUUGCGGCUACUGUUACCAUCAUUAUUUGGGCGCUCCAACACAAAGGUCCAGGGGUCUGGCUCCGGUUUAUAAGCUUGUAACAGAUCAAGUAGCUCAUUAGCAGUGUGAGCACAAAUAAAAAGUUUUUUCGCAUUAGAGGGAAUGAAAUAAUUUUUUAUUGCAUGGUUAAGAAAUGCGAUAAAGCCAUCAUAAAAGUUAUUGACAUUUAACAAACCGAUGGGUUUCUGGUGGAUGUGCAGAUGGGCCCAAGAUGCUAGUGUGAUAAGUGCCUCUAGUGUUGCAAGAUCUCCUGGAAGGAAAAUAAAAGCAUCAGCAUGAUUAAGCAUUUCAGUUAUUCUUUCUUGCAUACCUGAGACGACUAACUCUUCUCCAGUUGAUGAGUCAGACGAACUGCCCAAUGGUUUUAAGACUCUUGGGAUGAUGCCUAACACUUGACUUCCUCUGACAAAAGCUGCUUUAGAGACCAUUUUUGAUAACCCUCGGUUACCUCCUCCAUACACCAAGUGUAAUUUUCUCGCUGCUAUGCUUCGACCAAGAUCUAUGGCUGCCUCAACGAACUCUUUAUGUUUGCCAUAGGUAAAUCCAGAAAGCACACAAAUGUUCUUGAAUUGUCUAUUUGGAGUAGCUGCCAUUGUGAUACUUCUCAAAAAUAAUUUGUGAGUGCUUGACAAAAAAAAAUCACAUUUAAGAGUCUUAGUGACAGUGGGUCACAGUUGUGUAUGAGGUAACAUGUCAGUGUCAAAUAACGCGUAAAGCACGUGGCUCGCGAGUCAAAAAGGAAACAGUAAUAAAAUUAUUAAAGAUAAUAAUGCACUCAAUAAAACAAUAGUGCAAUAAAAUAACAGUAAAGUAAAAGGAUAUUUACAGGUAGUUGCGACUGUGGCUCACAUCUUCCUCUGGUUUUACGUCCAGAAACAGCUUGAACGCCCUCAAUGGGUCGAGGAAAGGCUUCCCAUCCAGUUUUCUUAUAAACUGGCAAACAGGGUCGUUUAUAGUCAGAUUCCCGAGACUAUAUCAUGCAUACUCUUUCUGGAAUAAUGGCCAUAACUGGAGAAUCGCUCCUUGCACAUAUCCACUGGGAUGCGUUUCAAGAGACAGAAGGAUAUCAUCCAAUGACUCCUUAUUCAAGUCAUCCCUAAUGAAUUGAAUCUUAUCUUCCCUGUUAUCAGACACCAUUCCUAAAGAACAUGGGUUUUUAUUGCAACUCAUCCUGGCACACUUAUGACAAGCAACAGAAAUUCUUCGAGCUCGUCGUUUUCUUGCAUAAUUUCCUUUACCACAACCAGGCAUGUAUGCAAUAAAUUUUGGAGGUAACUCACCUGCCAAUCGUACUUUGGCCUCGAUUAACCAACGGAUGUUAGCAGGUAUGUUAUUCAUCAUGAGUAAUCGCAUGCGUUCGGACCGAGCUUUAUAGAUCGUAAGGAGGGCAUUCUGAGGAAGUGAAGGGAAUUGCUUGUGAAGCUUCGCUAGAAUCUCGUUUCUGUUCAUACUUUGGCCUCAGAAUAUCAGUUAUUAUAGGAAACUGAAGUAACCGACUUGAUUGUCACGGAGUACCGUUAUCCGCCACUUCACCGGGGUAACAAACUAAAGCACACAAACAGAAAAACAAAUUAAAACACACAGAAAAUUAAAAUCGUCCUCUUAUUGAAUUUACCUCAAGCUCCAACUGGAUAUCUUAAACACUUCUCUCAAUAUCUCUGAGUUGGCUUUCUAGACCCUCAACAUAGGCUACUAACUCUGGUGGUUGUAGAGCCCAAAUGCGAUGUGUUUUACAAAAUUGAAUCUGCCUUUUGAGAUGAGUUUUGACACGUUGAAGUGGUUUAAGAAUGUUCAGGAGGAACGGUCUAAGUAAGAUACUCAUGAUUAAAAAUGAGAAAAGAAAACUUAAUAGUUAAACAAACACACUUAUGCAAAAAUAAUUUCAAUUAGCAGAAGAAUAAUAUAAAGAAAGAAAAAAAAUCAAAUCAACGAAAGGAAAAAAAAAAUCAAUUCAAAUCUGGUGGGUCACUCAAAUUUAUUUCGGUGUCUUCUCCAUGUGGUUGGUACUCUAAAUAUGGCUUUAAUCUUUGACCAUUAACUUUAAACGUGACACCGUUCUUUGGGUCCUUAAUUUCAAUUGCCCCAUGUGGAAAAACAGUAUGAACAAUAAAGGGACCAGACCAUCGAGAGCGUAACUUACCUGUGAAUAGGUGCAAACGAGAAUUGAAUAAAAGCACUUUCUGACCUAGAGUGAACGAUUUUCUCAUAAUUUGCUUAUCAUGGAAGACUUUCAUUCGUUGCUUGUAAAUCUUGACAUUUUCGUAUGCGUCAUUGCGAAUUUCUUUAAGUUCUGCCAGUUGUAAUCUUCUUUCUGAGCUGGCUUGCUGCAUGUCAAAGUUGAAUUUCUUGAUGGCCCAGUAUGCACGAUGCUCGAGUUCCACAGGUAGGUGGCAAGCUUUUCCAUACACUAGUCUGUAGGGUGACAUCCCAAUCGGGGUCUUGAAAGCCGUUCUAUAUGCCCAUAAUGCAUCAUCAAGUCUUAAUGACCAAUCUUUUCUGUCUGGCCUCACUGUCUUUUCUAAUAUGUGCUUUAUUUCUCGAUUGGAGAUCUCAACUUAGCCACUGGUUUGAGGAUGAUAUGGGGUCGCCACUUUGUGUGUGAUUGAAUACUUUGUCAAAAGAGCCUUGAAUGCUUUGUUACAAAAGUGGGCACCACCAUCACUGAUUAUUGCUCGAAGGAAUCCAAAGCGUGAAACAAUGUUGCUUUUCAAAAAUGCUAUCACCACCUUGUGAUCAUUGGUCCUACAUGGAAUUGCUUCUACCCAUUUUGAUACAUAGUCAACAGCAACCAAUAUGUAUUGAUGGCCAAAAGAUGGGGGAAAGGGUCCCAUGAAAUCGAUACCCCAUACGUCAAAUAUUUCAACCACUAAAAUUGGAUUUAAUGGCAUCAUGUUCCUUCGUGUAAUGCUCCCCAUUCGUUGACACCUAUCACAUGAAAAACAGAAAGUGUAGGCAUCUCGAAAUAUAGUUGGCCAAUAGAAACCACAUUGUAAAACUUUAGUCGUUGUUUUCUUAGCGCUGAAAUGGCCUCCACAAGCUUGUUCAUGGCAGAAUGAAAGGAUAUUUUGAAUUUCACUUUCUGGGACACAUCGUCUAACAAUUUGGUCUGCACAAUACUUGAACAAAUACGGGUCAUCCCAAAAGAAAUUCUUUAUUUCCGCAAAGAAUUUAGCCUUGCCUUGCUUGGUCCAAUGCUCUGGAAGUUGACCUGUAACAAGAUAAUUAACGAUAUCAGCAUACCAUGGUAAUACUUCCACACUCAUUAAUUGUUCAUCUGGAAAUGACUCAUUCAAUAUUAAUGGCUCUGUAAUUGUGUCAAAAUGGAGACGAGAGAGGUGGUCCGCCACAACAUUUUCUGUCCCUUUCUUAUCUUUGAAUUCUAAGUCAAAUUCCUGCAAAAGUAACACCCAACGAAUUAGUCUAGCUUUUGCAUCUUUCUUUGUGAGAAGAUAUUUAAGAGCAGCAUGAUCUGUGAAUAUAAUUAUUUUACAACCAAUGAGAUAAGAUCGAAAUUUUUCUAAUGCAAACACUACUGCUAGCAUUUCUUUUUCAGUAGUUGAAUAGUUCAACUGUGCAUCAUUCAAUGUCAUACUAGCAUAGUAAAUAACAUGGGGAAUUCGAUCAACUCUUUGUCCUAAUACUGCUCCUACUGCAUAAUCAGAUGCAUCACACAUGAGCUCAAAUGGUAAGCUCCAAUUUAGGGCCUGAAUGAUGGGUGAUGAUGUCAACAAUUGCUUUAAUUUUUCAAAAGCCACAAGACAUGAAUCAUUAAAGAUAAAAGGUACAUCCUUAGCAAGUAGAUUGCACAAGGGUCUAGAAACUUUGCUAAAAUCUUUAAUGAAACGUCUAUAAAAACCAGCAUGCCCAAGGAAAGAUCUUACUUCUCUGACUGUUUUAGGUGGAGGAAGAUUAGAAAUGAGAUCAACCUUGGCUUUGUCAACCUCAAUACCUUUGCUCGAAAUGAUGUGACCGAGAACAAUAACUUGUUUUAUCAUAAAAUGGCAUUUCUCCCAAUUUAAGACCAAGUUUUUCUCGAUAUAUCUCUGCAGAACUAGUGUUAGAUGAUGUAAACAUUGAUCAAACGAGUCACCAAAGACAGAAAAAUCAUCCAUAAAGACUUCAAGGAAUCGUUCAACCAUAUCAGAAAAAAUGCUCAACAUGCAUCGUUGAAAUGUAGCAGGUGCAUUACAUAAUCCAAAUGGCAUUCUCCUAUAUGCAAAUGUGCCAAAAGGACAAGUGAAAGUGGUCUUCUCUUGAUCUUUUGGUGCUAUGGGGAUCUGAUUGUAUCCUGAGUAGCCAUCUAGAAAGCAAUAAAAUUCAUAGCCUGCUAAUCUAUCAAGCAUUUGAUCAAUAAAUGGUAAAGGAAAAUGGUCUUUACGUGUGAUAGAAUUCAACUUUCUAUAAUCAAUGCAUACACGCCAUCCUGUAGUUACUCUAGUGGGUAUCAAUUCAUUAUCAGCAUUGGUAACUACUGUGACUCCUGACUUUUUAGGGACAACUUGUACAGGACUGACCCAUGAACUAUCAGAAAUUGGGUAAAUGAUACCUGCGUCUAAUAGCUUAAGGACUUCUGUUCUAACAACUUCUUUCAUAUUAGGAUUUAACCGACGUUGCAUUUCCCUAGUAGAUUUAGCAUUUUCAUCAAGGUGAAUGUAAUGCAUGCAGUCUACUGGAUUUAUACCUUUUAUGUCCGCUAUGGUCCAUCCUAAUGCUCCUUUGUGCUCUUUUAAAACAUCCAACAACUUACCUUUUUGUUCGUCAUUUAGGGAUGAUGAGAUGAUUACCUGCAGAGUACUUUCUUCUCCCACAAAUGCAUAUUCCAAUGUGUUGGGCAAUGGUUUGAGCUUGAGUUUCGGUGGUGAUUCAGAUGAUGGGAUGAGUUUCUUUUCUGAUGGUGCUAGUUGUUCAACUCUUGACUUCUAUUUAUUAGUGUCCAUGGAUGGUGCUGAGUCAAGUAAGGCGUUGACCUCAUCGACCGAUCUGUCAAUAUCAAAAUCCAAACCAAAGUGAGUUAAACAUGUUUGUAAAGGAUCAUCACUAAGGUUUGAAAGAAAAGUAUUAUCAACUAUUGUUUCAAUUAAAUCCACAUCAACAAUUCCAUCAUAUGCACUGUGAGGUUGUUUGGCAAUGUUGAAAAUGUUUAGCUCCAUAGUCAUGUUGCCAAAGGACAACUGCAUAUUUCCAGUUCUGCAUUGAAUGUGAGCAUCCGCAGUUGCCAAGAAAGGUCGGCCUAGAAUAAUGGGGAUGUGCUUCCUCGAAUCCUGUAUUGGUUGAGUGUCAAUUACAAUGAAAUCAACAGGAAAAUAAAACUUGUCUACCUGGAUAAGCACGUCCUCCACAAUACCACGAGGUAUUUUCGUGGACCGAUCUGCAAGCUGUAACACCACUGGAGUUGGGUGUAAUUCCCCCAGUCCAAGUUUCAUAAAUACUGAAUAAGGCAACAAAUUUACACUAGCUCCUAAAUCCAACAAAGCAUUCUCAAUUGUGUGGUUCCCUAUGCUACAUGAGAUAGUGGGGGAGCCUGGGUCUUUGCAUUUUAAAGGAAUUUUAUGUUGGAGUAUAGAACUAACGUUUUCUGUUAAAAAUGCCUUCUUUUGAACAUGCAUAUUUCUCUUUUUAGUACAAAGGUCUUUAAGAAACUUGGCAUAAGAUGGAACUUGUUUAAUCGCAUCAAGUAAAGGGAUGUUAACACUUACCUGUUUGAAGAUUUCAAGAAUCUCACCUGUGGAUUUUCCCUUCUUUCCUUUUGCUAACCUCUGAGGAAAUGGAGCUUUCGGAAUGUAUUCUCGUGGGUUGGUUUCUUCUUUCUCCUCCGGUGAUGAGUCGUCAACAUUUACAGGUACAAUUUGAUUUUCUUUUGUCACCGGCAUCUCCACUUUGUUGUCGACUUCUUUUCUUUUUCGCAAGGUCAUGACUGCUUUGACUUCUCCAUGCUGCUGUGGUGAACUGGUACUUGCUUCAUGUACUCCUUUAGGGUUAGGCACUGGUUGACUUGGAAACUUACCUUUCUCAACAGUCAUUGCCAAGGUCUGAACUGAAGAAGCAAGUUGUCCCACCAUCUUUUCGAGGCUUGAAACUGAUUGGGCUUGUGAAUUGAAGCCUGCUCUCAACUCAUUUCGUAGUCCAUCAAUGGUGCGUUUUUGUUGCUCAAUUGUGGAGUGAGUAACAUUCUUGAAAUUCUGGAAUGCAUCCUCCCAUGGUCUGGGUUGAGAGUAGUUUUGGUUCUGAUUGAAUGGUCUAAAUGGGGGCUGAGAGGCUUGAGGAACUUGAGGAAUUUGUUGCAUUGGUGGAGCUGGAGCUGCUGGUCCAUUCUGUUGGAAUCCUUGAGACCAUGAAAAAUUGGGGUGGUCUCUCCAUCCAGGAUUAUAUGUGUUGGAGUAUGGGUUGUAAUUUGAUGGCUUUCUCAUUACACCUAUGGCAUUGGCUUGAUCUGAGUAUGAGUCAUGGUCAUGUGGUUCUGUUGAUUUAGCAGUCGAUAACGAUGCUAUUUGUCGAGCAAGACCUUCAACCAUCUCCUUGACUUCUUUGAUUCCCGAAGUUGACUCGCCAAUUUGAACCUCAUUUACUCCUUUAAUUCUUCUACUAUUCUUGAGUGAUCGACUCCGUUGUUAGGAAUUAUCCGCUUGUCGCUGGAAGAAUUCCCAAAUCUCUGAUGUACUUUUUGACAUUAGCUCUCCUCCACUUGUUGCCAUUAGCCAUUCUUACACAUUCGGCAAUAAUCCUUCCAAAAAGUAUUGGCAUUGGUGCCAUUUCUCGUCCCCAUGAUGUGGACACUUUAAGAGUAGCCCAUUGAAUCGCUCCCAUGUUUCGAAAAAUUGAUCGUCCUCUCUCUGGGUAAACUCUGAAAUUUCCCUGCGAAUAGCAUUGGUUUUAUGCACUGGAAAAUAUUUAUUCAAAAAUUUUGUUACCAUUUGUUCCCAUGAUGCAAUGCUAUUAGCAGGCAAUGUAUUAAGCCAUGAACGAGCUCUAUCCUUUAAAGAAAAUGGGAAUAAUCUGAGUUUAACAUCAUCGUCUGAAAAAUUUUCAUAUUUAAAAGUUUGACAAAUGGUAUGAAAAUCAUUCAGAUGAUUAUAUGGGUCCUCAUUUUCUAGGGCAUAGAAUGUUGGGAGAUAAUUUAGCACACUAGGUUUUAGUUCAAAACUCCUAGCAGCUACAUUUGGGUAUCUUAUGCAUGAUGUGCUCAAAUUAGCUAAAGGACUGAAAUAAUCCUUGAAUGGCCUCUCCUGUGGUGCUUGUAAAUCCAUUCCAAAUUUAUUUUUAAAGUGCUUGUGUGUGCGAAGUGUUUUUUCUAGCUCAAGGUCUAUAGGUUCAAGAUUAGGAAAUAAUGACCUACGACCAUAUAUGCAAAACAAAUAAAAUAAAAUAAAGAUGGGAACAAAACAAAUAAAAAUAAAGAAGAAGGAGAAAUUACGAUACUAACCUUAUUGCACUAUUACAACCUUUCUAUAAAAAUACACAAAAAUAAAUACGUGAAAUAAAUUAACUAAAAAUUAAAUUAAUAAAAUAAACAAAAAAUUACAAAGAAAGAAAAAAAAUAAAUUGAAAAUUAAAUUACAAAAUUUUAAAGAAGAGGAAAAGAAAAGAAAUACUAACCUUUAAUUUUAGAUUCACUUUUUUUUUUCUUUUUUUUUUAAAGAAAAAAAAUACAAGAAAACAAUUAAAAUGGAAUUAUUCACAAAAAUUAAUUCUGUGAAUUAAAAUUACUUACCUCCCCGGCAACGGCGCCAAAAACUUGUUGUGUAAAUUUUAAUGUACUCGCAAGCGCACGAAUCUAUUGUAGUAUAGAUCAAUGGUGACGAGUGUCGAUCCCACGAGGAGGUGGAUUUUAAUUAUGUGUAGAAUUAAUUUUGCAAAUGGGUGGUUUAGAUUUGUGGUGGAAGUGAAUUAAAUUAUUCUAAAAUUGGAAUUAAAAUGGCGAGAAGAAAUUGAAGAGAAAAUUACUAUGUUUGAAGCGCUUGGGUAUCUGGAUCCGUAUCAACAUGAACCAUGGGCUAAAUAUUCCUUAUUAAUACCAAUUAAAUCAUGAGGGGGGAAUCCACUCCUCAUGAACCACGCUCUAAUCAAUGUGGUGCUAAGGGCUUAUCGUGCCAAAUAAUAAUAACCUUGUACUAGAGGGCCGGUGAAACCAAGGCGGUACUAGACAAUAUUAGUAUUAUUUGUCGACGAGAAGUCAAAACACCCACAAAAACUAGAGGGGAAGAGAAAAUAAAUUUACCAAAUUAAGCCCAUGACACAUGUUGAGACUUCACCUUCAACCCAAGCUUGAAAGGAAAUUAGCUACUCAUAAUUGAACUAGGGGCAAAAUGAAAAUUUAUUAAAAUACGAAGAAAAUACAAGAUGGAGAAGGAAUUACAGAAAAUGGAUCCCAAAAAUGGAUUCAGAGAUAUCAAAUUAGGGGGAGAGGCCCCCUUUUUAUAGAUACAUGGAGUAAAUCAUGGCUAUCGGAUUAAAAACAGUUUGGACGCUCAGGAUUGCGCCACGUCAUCAGUCAACAGUACGCGGUUUGACCACGUGGAUGAACAGUAACACGGUUUGACCCGGAUGAACAGUAAUGCAGUUUGGUUGAAAAUAAUCCUGUGUGAUGCAUGUACCGUACGCGAGAUUUUUCGUCCACUGAUAUGCUGCCACGUCACCAUCAACAGUACAUAAGAAUUUUAGCCCAACAGGAUCGUGACACCUCAUCAGUCAAUGCCACGUCAUCGAUCCGUCUAUGUGAACAGUGUCGUGAACAGUAACGUAGACAGUACCGUACAUGUGAAUAGUACCGUACAUGUGAAUAGUACCAUUUUUCCUUUUAUGCUCCUCCUAAGGUUUUCGACCGUCCUGAGUUCAAAAGUGAUGUCCGUUUUGCCGUCUGAUCUCUCCUUUAUUGUGAAAUGACUAUAAUGCCCCUAAAAUACAUAAAAUACUUAAUUAAAAUAAAACAAAUGUAAUUAAAUCACAAGAAGGUUAAAUACAUAAAAGUAAGGGUUGUUAGUAAGACUUGAAAUGUCAAAUGACGGUUUUCUCCUUUAUAAAUAUGUAUUUUCUAACACUUAACAGUAAUUGCUUAUAAAAAUUAACCAACAACCCCCGACGCCAAAACUUCACCCAAUGGCUUUGAUACCACUGUUAGGAAAUUAGGAUUCCUUCCAAGAUCACUUGAAACAAUUUGUCAAGCAACAAAUCAACAGAAAAUUAAAUUGAGAACAAUAUUAGUAGCACAACACAAGAUUUACGUAAAAAAACUCUAAAUCUAGAGAAAUAUCACGAUCGUUGUCAAGAGACAGCAAGAGAAAAUAUUCACUAUGUGAAAAAUUAUUCCAACCAUACUUUCAGAAAUAAGUUUCUCUCACCCAAACCCCAAAUACACCUAAAAAUUAUUCAACUCUAAAAUUCUCUUUAAAUAUAAGAGGAAAUGAAUUCUUUGGGAUGAUAAAAACUUAUGAAAAGCUCUCUUCUUUAUAAACAACCGAAUAACACUAUUCAAACUGUGUUACCACAUAUGUCGUGUUACUGUCCAUGCCACGUUAUUGCUCAAGCCGUGUUACUAUUCACCGCGUGGUCAAUCUGUGUUAUUGUUUACCACAUGGUAAAAUCAUAUUUUUAACUCCUUGGAUCUCAACUAGUGUGAUUUGCGUGGGAAGUUUCCAAAAAAGAUAUUGUAGGUACCUACACUUCAGACUCUUGACUAGGGAUGGCAAUUUCCGGGUUCGGGUCCGGGUUUGGCUGUUCCGGAUCCGGACCCGGACACAAAAUUCUCAUAACCGGACCCGCAUUAAACCCCCUUUUUUUUAAUCCGGGUCCGGUCCGGGUUCAACCCGGAAAAAUCCGGGUUUCCGGAUUCCGGGUUUUGAACCCGGAUUGCUUUAUUUUUAUCUUCUAUUCUUCUGGCCAACAAUGCAAGGUGUUCAAAACAACGAACAUGGUUAGUGCCAAGAUGAUGAUUGAGUAAUGUUUAUUUUAUUUUAAUAUUAGCCUCCAUAUUUUUUGCUUCCAAAAAACGUUGGCAAAACCGCAGAAGGAAAAAAAAUUUACUCAAGAAAUAAUAAUUAACAAAAUAAACAUCAAGCUUUUCUAAAAGAACAGAGCUGGCUUGUUGGUAAAAACUUGUUAUAUAGCUGUUUUCCCAAGUGCCGUCGAUUAUGUCAUUAAUUUUUCUUUUUUGUAAUUUUCUUUUUUUACUCUUAAAUCUUGAUCAACUACAUCAUCGAUUCAUUUCCAAUUCAACAAUAAAUUAUAAAUCCAAAAAAAUAUGUAUUGUUUUUAUACUAUCCAAGACCAAACCAAAAUUCAUGUUAGGUAAGACGGCACUUACAAACGUUGAAUCUUCUCAAUUGUUCAGCCCUAACAAACCCAAGCAAAAAUUUAAUAUUCCAUCCCCUAAAUAAUUUAGACCACUGCCACCAGCUGUCAAAAUUACCGAUCAUGUCUAGUAAUCAAUUCCAGCUGUCUCUAUUCUGCAUAUGCUUAAUGCUCUCAUCUUUAGUCUCCGCACACAACUCUUAACACCGUGUUCUAAAUGAUACUGAAACUUUAGAUAAAAGAACACGCAACGCCAAAAACUAAUUGUGGAACACAUCCGCCAUAUGAUGAAGAAGAAGAUGAGGAUCCCAGUUGUGAAUUUCAACCCCUUUUGCUGGCCACGACAGAGUGAGAGAUGAGACAAGUGAUGCUGAUGACUUAUGAAACGAACACAGCCGCACCGUGAAGGUGAUGACAGGCCGCGCCACGAAGGAUCUGAUCUGAUCUGAAGAAGAGAUUACAUGAGAGUUGAAGAGAGAGUGAGAGAGAUUAAGUGAGGACUGAGGAACAGGUCACGGGUGAGAGAGAUUGAGAGAGGAACGGAUGAGACUUGAGAGAUUGAGAGAAGAAAUUACAGUAGAGUUCAGUUGAAGAGAGUGAGAGAUCGAGAAUUCGAGAUUUCGAGAGAGGAAUUAGAGAGAUUGAGAGAUCUAGGGUUCGCUUUUGUUUUUUUUUUUUCUAUUUAUAUUUACGGAUUUGCGAAUAAAAAUUAAUAUUAAAAUAAAAAAAUCCGGGUCCGGGUUCCGGAUUUGUGGGUUCACCUGAAACCGGAUCCGGACCCGGAAACAUGCGGGUUCUCAAAAACUUAUCCGGAUUCCGGAUAAAAAUCAUUCCGGUGCGGGUUGAACCCGGACCGGAUUUUCCGGGUUCAGUCCGGGUCCGAUCCGGGUCCGGGUUUGGUUGCCAUCCCUACUCUUGACUUGUCAUACAGCUCAUUACUUCAAGGUUCUCUACCUAGCUUUCCUGAGAAUUCUUAUCUUUGAAACCUGAACCUAGCAAACACGAGCUUCUUAGGCACACUACCAGAUUCCAUUGGGACCCUUGAAAAUUUGACAAGGGUAGAUCUUAGAAGUUACAAUUUCACAAGGCCAAUUCCCACUUCAAUGGCUAAUCUCGCCCAAUUAUUUCACAUGGACUUCUCAUCAAACCAUUUCUCCGGUCCCAUCCCAUCUCUUCACAAGUCAAGAAAUCUUAACUAUUUAGACCUUUCAUCCAAUAAUUUAAAUGGUGGGAUCUCACCCACCUUCUGGCAAAAACUUUUAAAUCUCAAUAUUUUUGUCUUGUCGCACAAUUCACUGAAUGGAAGUAUCCCAAAAUCUAUGUUUCUAUUUCCAAUUCUAGAGAUACAUCUGCUCUCAAACAACCAGUUUGAGAACCAAUUUCCUGAAAUUUCAAAUAUGUCCUCUUCUGUAUUGCCUGGCCUUGAUUUAAGUGGCAACAAAUUAGAAGGGUUUCUCCCCAUUUCAAUAUUCCCUGAACUUAGAAACUUUCAUACCCUCAAUCUUUCUUCCAACUAGUUUAGCAAAUUGAGACUGGCUUCAAGCAAACCAUGGGUUAUUCCUAUUCUAAAAAACCAAUCACAACUUUCUUUUUUUUUAUAUUUCAAAUAACCAAAUAUCUGGAGAAAUACCAAAUUGGAUUUGGGAAGUUGGUGGUGUCAAUCUUUAUUUCUUAAAUCUUUCACAGAAUCUCCUAGUGAGCUUGCAAGAACCAUACCAUAUUUCUGGUAUAUGCUCGCUUGACCUACACUCCAACCAGCUCCAAUGAAAUAUUCCUUACAUGGCACCAAAAACUUCCUAUGUCGAUCACUCCAACAAUAAUUUUCAUAGGUAGAACUUACUCAUUUUCCACUAUAAACAAGAGUCUCAUUGGAUUCAUCCCUGAAUAUAUAUGCAAGGCUACGUAUUUUCAGGUUCUUGACUUAUCAAACAAUAAUUUGAGUGGCUCAAUUCCUGCAUGUUUAAUCACCAAGAGUAGCACCACUUUAGGGGUUUUAAACUUAAGGAGAAACAACCUCGGUGGCACUCUUUCUAACAUAAUAUUUCUAGGAAUUUUUGGGUUGCAAAUUCCACAUCUCAGUGGAAAUCAACUAUAAGGAGUAGUUCUAAAAUCUCUUGCCAACUGCAAUAUGCUGCAAGUUUUAGACCUCAGGAAUAACCAUAUUAGUGAUAAUUUCCCAUGUUGGUUAAGGAAUGCUUUUAGUUUGCAAGUUUUAGUUUUUCGAUCCAAUAACUUCUCUGAACGCAUUAGUUGUCCAAGAAAUAAUGUCUCCUGGCCUCUGCUUAAAAUAGUCGACUUAGCAUCAAAUAAAUUCAGUGGAAGACUAUCACAAAAAUGGUUACUUCCCAUGAUGGUUAAUGAAAACAAAUCCAAAUCUGAGCUUAACCACCUUGGAUAUGAGACAUGACGCAACCAAUUAUAUAAAUUUGGAGUAAUAGUUACUGUAAAAGGUGUAGAUCAUACAACUAAAGAUCCCAAAUAUAUUCACUUCCAUUGACUGUUCAAGCAACAAUUUCGAAGGGCCAAUGCCAGAAGAAAUGGGACGAUUCAAAUCACUCUAUGCUCCAAACAUGUCGCACAAUGCUCUCAAAGGCUCGAUACCGUCAUCGUUUGGGAACUUGAAACAAAUUGAGUCCUUGGACCUCUUAAUGAACAACCUCAGUGAGAAAAUUCUUGCCUAGCUUGCAAGCCUAAAUUUCCUAUUGGUGCUAAAUCUCUCAUACAAUAACUUAGUGGGAAAGAUUCCGACAAGUACUCAACUCCAAUCAUUUUUACCAACUUCUUAUGAAGGAAACAAAGGAUUGUACAUACCUCCUUUAACAAAUGACAGCCAAACACAUCCUCCUGAGUCACAACCUUUACCACCGCCAGCUUCAAGCAAUGAAAUUGAUUGGUUCUUUAUAGCCAUAUCAAUUGGAUUUGCGGUAAGCUUCGGAGCAGUUGUUUCACCUCUAAUGUUUUUUGUGCACGUAAAGAAAUGGUAUAACGAUCUUAUCUACAAAUUUAUAUAUCGGCGAUUCCGUGUGUGAAGUGAUUUAUAUCUCUCCUUUUGAAUAAUCAUGUAAGCUAGCUUUUGAUUUUCUCUUAUAUCAUAGAUAUUUGAGAUUUCGUUUCUUCUCUGUUUCAUGAAGUUAAUAAAGUUGACAAUAAUUUAAAAUAAGGGCCUAUCUAUAAUUGUUACUGCGACAAUCUUUAUCUCAAAAUUGGCUCCAAGUUAAAUCUAUAUUGGCGCAAUUCGUACACAACAUAUCCCGUGAGUCCAUACAAAAUUAAUAUGUGCAUGAUUAUGUAUGAUUCCAGCUCCAAGCUAGAUACAUAGCGAUUCAUGAUCAUAUUCCAUUUGUUCACAAGGAAGUUUUAUAAAGUAGAAAUAAGAAUUUAAAAGAUAACAUUUGAGGAAAUGUGUGGGUUAUGAGACCAUCUAAGAAAUUAGCCCAAAAAGGCUUCAGGCCCUUAUGGCCUGGCCGAUUAGUUUGUUCAAAAUAUUAGUUUAUGUUGUAUUUAAUUGUUAGAAUGAGAGUAGCGAGUAUGGAUUCUUCCCACUCUAGUGUUUUCUUUCUUUUUUAAUGAGAGGAGUGGAAGUCUCACUCCUUGGAUCCCACUCAUUUUUUGAGUAAUGAAUUGGAUUCUGACAUCUAUAGGGAUCACUUCCACCUCUUCCUUUUUUAUCCUUUCCUUAUCAAAUAUAAUAAAAUAAUAUUACAUUGUUUAAAAAUAAUAACAUCAUAUUCAUUUAAAUAAUAUUAUUCUAUUUAGUUAAAAAUAAUAAUUUAUGUAAUCUAAGUUAAAAUUACCUAAAAUAAUGCUACCCACAUUCUUGAUUGGCCGGCACACCAACCUUUUCUUUAACCUCAAAAUGACUUUAAAUUUAGAUCAAUAAUUUCUUAGAGGCAUUUAAACAAACCAUUAGUAUGCCAUUUAUUAGAUAUCUUAAUCUUAAGAAAACUAUAAUAUUUUCAUAUCCAAUACAUAUCUAAUGAUUAACUAUGAUCAAUGAUCAAUCAACCAAGCAAUUUAAACAAAAUUUAUUCUAAAUUAAUGAAAAAAUCGAGAAAGUACAUAAGCCGCCGAAACCGGAAAUGAAGGAACUUGCUAGAAUCAAACUAUAACUCACACAAAUAACAAUCGGAAGUGAAGCAAAUCGCCGCCGAAAGUGAAGGAAAUUGCUGGAAUUCAAGAAACGCUAGAAGUGAAGAAACUCCUACAUGUGUAUAUGGGGUGAUGGGAGAUGUUUUUGGGCGAUGUUGGGUGAAAUAUUUUUUUUUUUUUGUUUAGUUUUGAGAAUUUAUGGAUAUUUUAGUUUAAGAACCUUAUAAAUGAUUGCUAUUGUAAGAAAACAUGGAGUGUGGUUUUUUCUUAUAUUAAAAAUUGGAAGGUGGUCAAAUGGGUAAAUUUCCCAAUAAUUUUCCAACGUGUGUAUGAAUCUUGUGUUGCCUCUUCAUAAAACCUGUAUUGUUAGCUCUAUCCGUACGGCUUUUACAAGUCUGCGGGCUCCACAAGCAAAUUAGCGUUCAGUUUGACGCGAGAUGAAUUGCAUUCAAUCAACUUUUUUUAUUACAAGCAAUAAAAUCACUAUCAAAAUUCAAAUGUUAGCUCUAUCCUUACAAGAUUUUUUGAAGUCUACGGGUCCCGCGAGAACGAAUUGCAUUCAAUCAAUUAUUAGAUUUUUUUUUAAUAUAGUAGAGGAAUAGUGAAAUUUAAAUUAAUUUUUUUAUUAUACUUAUUUCAAGAUUCAAACUCCCGUAAUUAAUUAAGUAAAUCUGUGUAAAAAUCACUUGGCCAAGACUCUUUGGGACUAAUUAUUGGAUAUUAUAACAAAUAAAGACCCUGAUUUUUAUUGGUUCAGUAGGGUCUGAUACAAAUUAAAAUUAAUAUACUGGAGAAGGCAGAAAGAAUCCUAGUUAAUAUAGGCAGCAACGCAUGGAGCCAUGAUUUUGGUUCAACGGGAUCAGAAUCAAGAAACUACGAACUUGGGGAGGCCAAGAUCAACAAUUUGUAAAACGAUGAAGUGAGAGGAUAAGAACAUAUAUAGAGAUUCCAAAGAAAUUGACUAAAUUUUAAUUAAUACCCUUAUCUUCCUAUGAAUUAUAUAAUUAUAAUCUUGUAAUUAUCACAUACUUACUAGGUCCCAACGAUUCCAUUAGUUUCCAAAAUCCUAUCCUUCAUUUCAAAAUUAUUUUAAUUAGUUUCCAAGUCUACACCUAAAAGCUAAAACUUUUAGUUUGCUUUGAAUAAUCCUAAAAGUUUUUGCUUUAAUUUUCUCUUACGCUUACAUUGGUACAACUUUCCAAAUAUAGCUUAUUUAAAUAAAGUUUUUAUCAGUAAAUCUUUUAUAAAUAGCGUUUUUAUAUAAAUAAUUUUAGUUAUUUGUUUGUCAAUGCAAACUUUUAUUAAAAAUUAUAAAAUUAUUUAAUAAGCACGUUUUUUAAAAUUAUAUUAUGAAAUGAAUGAAAUAAAAUUAUCGAAUAAAUAAAUAAUUUUUAGAUGUUUUAAUAUUUUAAAAAACGUUUUUAACCUUUACUCCCAAAGGCCCAAAAUUUGAGUUUUUGCUAGUAAAGAAAAAAUAACUUAUUUAAUUUUUAAAGGCUCUACUAAAAAAAAUCCAAACAAUGAAAAUAAAUCUUAAAAGAGUUAAUAUAUUUAAAUAAGUACUUAUAUCCAUUACAUAAAAGUAUGCCUAACAUACAUAAUAUCUUAUUUGUUUGAGAUUUCUUUUCUUCUCCUGUUUGAUAAAGUUAAUAAAAUAAUUAACAAGAAUUUCAAAUAAGGGCCUUUAACUUAUGUCAUUGAGACAAUAUUCAUCUCCAAACUGGCUCCAAGCUAGAUAUAUAUUGUACGGGCAAUAUUCAUAGACGAUCUCUAACAGUUCAUACUAAAUUUUAGUUGUAACAAGAUAUAGGCUAUUUGCACCUUAAAAACUACUCUGAACACUCUUGUUUUAAUAAAAUAAUCUAAUUACAAAAUUAGCCAUCAUAUAAAUUACUAUUAAGGAUAAUUUAUUUGUGAGCCAAUAUAACUUAAUGACUUUAAAACUCAUAUAAUACACUCAUUAUUUAACAUAUAAUCUUUUAUAUCUAACAUCUUAAAAUAUAAUUCAUUGAACAUGCAGCAAAUCAAUAUUUUAAAUAAUUUUGAAGACAAAAUAUUUGUAAGACUUACAUUUUUCAAGAAAUAAAAUAAACAGAAAUUAUUGCAAAGGUGUUCAUAUUUUUUGUCUUUGAUUUAAAAAUAAAUACAUUAAAGCACUCUAAACCUAGUAACCCAAUCAGCAUCUUUUUCUUCUUCUUUUUGUGUCAGAUUACAAUUUGGUUUUCAAUUAUUAUUAGGGUAGUGAAAGUCCAUACUUCUUGAUCUUAAAUAAUUUAUAGGUGCAAAAAUUGAUAUGGAAUACAUUCUUUAAUUAAUAAAAACUGAUAAAUAAAAUUAUUUUAAAAAAUUUGUUUAAAACUUGACUUAAUUCCAUUGUUGCUAGUUAUGCUAUAUUUAUUACAACAAUUUUCUUUGAGUGUGCUGAAUAUUUUUAUUGGUGUUUUCAGUAAAUUAAUUUAAAUGAUUUAAGUAGGGAUACUUUUGGCAUCUUAAAAAGUGUACAAAGUAAAAAUUAAUUUUUCAAAUUUAACGUAUGAGUAUAUAAAGUAAUAGAGUGUUUAGAGUACUUUUUAGAGUGUAAAUAGCCCAACCUUUUUUUUUUUUAAAAAAAAAAAGUUGUAACAAGAUAUUUGUUCAUAGCAUAGAAUGAAAAACAAUGUUAUAAGAAAUGAGCCGAACCAAGUUUUUAAGUGACUUACUUCUAUAGUUUUAUGCGCCGGUCUCCUACUAACUUUUUAUUGUCGUAAUUGUGGGCCUAUAAAAAUGGAAGAUUCCUGUAUUUGAUGUACGCAUUUAACCAAAAGAUCCAAUUUUCUUUGUUUUUUUUCUACCAAGUCCUGGCAACAUUAAUUAGUUUGGACUUUUGUAGUACUUCUAGCCCCCAGUUUAUACGUUGGGGUUGUAACUUCUUGGGAACUUUGGCCAUCUUUUUCCCGUUAUAUGAAUUCAUCGCAAAUCCCAAGUUUCACUACUCCUCUCCGAGUUUCAUUUCACCAAUUAUUAAAACAAUGCGAUCAAUUUUACUCUUAUCAUGGUCUUUCUUAAUACCCUUUUUACCCAAUUAUUUUGGGAUCCAAAUGGUUUUGGCUUCUGGCCAAUGUCGGAGCGAUCAACAAUCUUUGUUACUCCAAAUGAAGAACAGUUUCAGACUAAGCAAUGACAGUGUCUUUCCAUCUACAAAACUGAGUCAGUGGAGUAGCCAUCAAAGCUCCGAUUGUUGUGAUUGGAGCGGUGUAAGGUGCGAUGAGGCUGGUCAUGUUAUUGGUCUCGACUUGAGCAGGGAACCAAUCAUUGACGGACUUGAGAAUGCGACUGGCCUUUUCGAUCUUCAAUAUCUGCAGAGCCUCAAUCUGAGUUUCACUCUCUUCUACGGAUUCCAAAUACCAUCCAGAUUGGGCAACCUGACAAAUUUGACUCACCUGAAUCUUUCCCAGGGUGGCUUCGGGGGGGAGAUUCCCAUUGAGAUUUCAAGCUUGACAAGGUUGGUUACUCUUGAUUUGUCAGGCCUUGAGCACAGGUUGGUUACUCUUGAUUUGUCAGGCCGUGAGCGCUCAAGAGUAUUUUCCUGGAUAAUUGAGAUCCCAAACUUAAGCUUGUUUCUGCAGAACUUAACAGAGCUCAGAGAAUUACAUCUUGAUCGAAUAGAUUUGUCCGCCUCCGGAACUGAAUGGUCCAAAGCUUUAUCAUUUCUACCCAAUCUACAAGUUUUAAGCUUGUCUGGCUGUGAUCUUUCAGGUCCAAUCAAUCAUUACCUGGCAAAGUUACGGUCGCUCUCCGUGAUUCAUUUGUAUGACAAUUACGGUCUAUCCUCAUGUACAGAGUCUUUGGCCAAUCUGCCGAAUUUGAAGACCUUGGAUCUCAGCGAGUGUGGGUUGCAAGGGAAGUUUCCAGAAAAGAUAUUGCAGGUUCCUACCCUUGAGACUCUUGACUUGUCAGAAAACCAAUUGCUUCAGGGUUCUCUGCCAAACUUUCCUAAGAAUUCUUCUCUUCGGAACCUGAUCCUCUCUGGGACGGGAUUCUCAGGCACACUACCAGAUUCCAUUGGGAAUCUUGAAAAUUUGACGUGGGUAGAGGUUAGACGUUGCAAUUUCACAGGGCCAAUUCCCCCUUCAAUGGCUAAUCUUACCCAAUUAUUUCACAUGGACUUCUCAUCUAACCAUUUCUCUGGUCACAUCCCAUCUCUUCACAAGUCAAGAAAUCUUAAGUACUUAGACCUUUCGUUCAAUAAUUUAAGUGGUGGGAUCUCAUCCACCUUCUGGGAACAACUUGUAAAUCUCAAUCUUGUUCUCUUGUCGCACAAUUCACUUAAUGGAAGUAUUCCCAGAUCUCUGUUUCUACUUCCAAAUCUGGAGACGCUUUGGCUCUCCAACAACCAGUUUGAGAACCAACUUCCAGAAAUUUCAAAUGUGUCCUCGUCUGUUUUGUUUGACCUUGAUUUAAGCGGCAACAGAUUAGAAGGGCCUGUCCCCAUUUCAAUAAUUUUUGAACUCAGAAACCUUUAUACCCUCGAUCUUUCUUCCAAUAAGUUUAGCAGAUUGAGACUGGCUUCAAGCAAACCACGGGUCAUUCCUAUUCUAAAAAACCAAUCACAACUUUCUGGUUUGGACAUUUCAAAUAACCAAAUACCUGGAGAAAUACCAAAUUGGAUUUGGGAAGUCGGUAAUGGCAAUCUUAACUUCUUAAAUCUUUCACACAAUCUCCUAGUGAGCUUGCAAGAACCUUACUCUAUUUCUAGUAUCCGCUUGCUUGAUCUGCACUGCAACCAGCUCCGAGGAAAUAUCCCUCACAUGUUAACAAAUACUUCCUACGUCGAUUACUCCAACAAUCAUUUUACUUUCAUCCCAGCUGACAUUGGUAAUUUCAUGUCUGAAACUGAAUACUUUUUCGCUGCAAACAAUAGUCUCGUUGGAGUCAUCCCAGAAUCUGUAUGCAAGGGUAUCUAUUUUCAAGUUCUUGACUUAUCAAACAACAAUUUGAGUGGCACAAUUCCUGCAUGUUUAAUCGCCCAGAGUGAAACCACUCUAGGGGUUUUAAACUUGGGAAGAAACAACCUCAAUGGCACUCUUUCUGACACAAUAUUUCCAAGAAAUUGUGGGUUGCAAAUUCUAGAUCUCGGUGGAAAUCAACUGCAAGGAGUAGUUCCAAAAUCUCUUGCCAAUUGCAAUAUGCUGCAGGUUUUAGACCUCAAGAAUAACCAUAUCAGUGAUAAUUUCCCGUGCUGGUUAGGGAAUGCUUCUAGUUUGCAAGUUCUAGUUUUGCAAUCCAACAACUUCUCCGGACACAUUAGCUGUCCGAGAAAUAAUGUCUCAUGGCCUCUGCUUCAAAUAGUCGACUUAGCAUCCAAUAAAUUCAGCGGAAGACUAUCACAAAAAUGGUUACUUACCAUGGAGGAGAUGAUGGUUGCUGAAACCAAAUCCGGAUCUGAGCUCAAACACCUUCGAUAUGUGAUAUCGAGCAACCAAUUCUAUGAGGUUGGAGUAACAGUUACAGUAAAAGGUGUAGAGACCAUGCUACUGAAGGUCCCAAAUAUAUUCACUUCCAUUGACUUUUCAAGCAACAAUUUCGAAGGGCCAAUACCAGAAGAAAUGGGACGAUUCAAAUCACUCUAUGCUCUGAACAUGUCGCACAAUGCUCUCACAGGCUCGAUACCAUCAUCUUUUGGGAACUUGAAACAGAUUGAGUCCUUGGACCUCUCAAUGAACAACCUCAGUGGGAAAAUUCCUGCCCAGCUUGCAAGCCUAAAUUUCCUAUCGGUGCUAAAUCUCUCAUACAAUAACUUAGUGGGAAAGAUUCCGACAGGUACUCAACUCCAAUCAUUUUCACCGACUUCUUAUGAAGGAAACAAAGGAUUGUACGGUCCUCCUUUGACGAAUGACAGCCAAACACGUCCUCCCGAACUUCAACCUUCACCGCCGCCAGCUUCAAGCGAUGAAAUUGAUUGGUUCUUCAUAGCCAUGUCAGUUGGAUUUGCGGUAGGCUUCGGAGCAGUUGUUUCACCUCUAAUGUUUUCCGUGCGGGUAAAUAAAUGGUAUAACGAUCUUAUCUACAAAUUUAUAUAUCGGCGAUUCCGUGUGUGAAGUGAUUUAUAUCUCUCCUUUUGAAUAAUCAUGUAAGCUAGCUUUUGCUUUUCUCUUAUGUCAUAGAUAUUUGAGAUUUCUUUUAUUCCCUGUUUGAUGAAGUUGACAAUAAUUUGAAAUAAGGGCCUAUCUAUAACUGUUAUUAAAUCUUUAUCUCAAAAUUGGCUCCAAUUUAGAUCUAUAUUGGCUCAUUUCACACGCAAUAAAUCUUCGAGAGUCCGUACUAAAUUAAUAUGUGCAAGAUUGUGUAUGAUUCCUACACCAAGCUAGAUACACAGCGAUUCAUGAUCAUAUUCCAUUUGUUUACUUGGGAAGUUUUAUAGAGUAGAAAGAAGAACUUAGAAGAUAACUUUUCAUGAGUCCGUCCAAGAAAUGAGCCCAAAAAGGCUUCGGGCCCUUGUGGCCUAGCCUAGUAGUUUGUUCAAAAUAUUAGUUUAUGUUAUGUUUAAUUAUUGAAAUGAGAGUAAAUAGUAUGAAUUCUUUCCACUUCAAUGUUUUCUUGUUUAUAUAAUGAGGGGAAUGAGAGUCCCACUCCAUGGAUCCCACUCAUUUUCCGAGUAAAGAGUGGGAUUCUCACUUCUACAGGGGCCACUCCCACCUCUUUCUUUAUUAUCAUUUCUUUAUCAAAUCUAAUAAAUUUUAUAUUUAUUAAAAAUAAAAUAAUGUUACAUUAUUUAAAAAUAAUAGCAUCAUAUUUAUUUAAAUAAUAUUAUUAUGUUUAGUUAAAAAUAAUAAUUUAUGUAAUCUAAGUUAAAAUUACCUAAAAAUAUUAUUAUUAUAUUCAUAGAGAAUUAAUAUUAUUACAAUAUACUAUCUUUAUUUUAAAAAAUAAUAUUUUAUAUUUAUUUAAUAUUAAUAAAUAGUUUAUUUUAAGAAAAUAUUAAUUAUGUACUAUAUUAUUAAUAAUAAUGUUUCAUUUUUUGCUCUUAUAAUAAUUUUUAAUUUACAUAAUUAAAAUUAAUAAAAAAUUAUGAUUUACAUGAUUAAGAAUAUUAAUAAUUAUUAGUAAUUUAUGUAAUUAUAUAAUUUAUUUUAUAAAUAUAUUUUUUAUUUACUUUAUAAUUAAAAACUACAAUAUUUUAAAUAAGGGUAAAAGUGUAAUUUAAAAUAAUUUACUCCUAAUCCAAGUCAAAGUAAAAAUAUAUAAAUACGAUUCUCCUAUUCCACACUCUCCUUUCAAUGUAAGUAAACAACAUAUUUUCACUCACACUCCAUACUCUCAAUCCCUAGAUUCCCAAACCAAACCUUAGUUGAAUGGUCUUCAAAUAAUUUUAUUCAAUUAUAACAUGAGUUCAAAUAUUGAAAAAAAUAGAAUUAAAAAUUUAUAAAAAAUUGAUUUGAACUUUUUCCAUCACUCUUACUUUUAAAUAAAUGAAAAAGAAAAACUCUCAAAUAAACAAAUAAAAGCUUUUAUGUAUGUGCCCCAAUAACAUUUUUAUUAUCAAUUAUUUUGAGUUAUUAAUAUUGUGCAAUUUUUACAUUGAAUAUAGUUGUACAUAAUUUAUCUAACUUUAAUAUUAUUUUUGUUACCGACUUGUGUCUCAGCUAGGGGUGGGCAAAUUGGGUUUCGGUUCGGGUUGUUCGGGUUUCGGUUUGGGUUUCAACCCGUUCGGGUUGGAGAAUUGAACCCAAUCGGGUUGAAAACGCCAACUCGAACCAAACCGAACCGAAUUUAAUUCGGUUCGGUUCGGUUUGAGUUGGCAAUUCGGAUCGGAUUGGGUUGAUAAUUCGGGUUAACAUAUCGGUUCGGGUUAAUUCGGGUUAGUUUGGGUUAGAAUAAUUCGGGUUAGUUCGGGUUAAUCAAUUAAUUAAUUAACAAUCUCUAAUUUAAUUAUUAAUAACAGCAACAAACCCACUCCAAUUUAAUUAAUAACAGUCUCCAAUUGUUCAAUUAUCAGUAAACCCACUCCAAUUUAACUAAUAACAAUCUCCAUUUGUUUAAUUAUCAGUCAACAACAACAAACACACUCCAAAUAAUUGAAUAAUUGCCAAUCAAUUAAUUAAAAAUAUAAAAUUUAAUUAUUAGUCAAUGAAGCUCAAUUAAAACUACGUUACAGCUCAAUUAAUUAUUAGUCAAUGAAGCUCCAUUAAAACUACGUUACAGCAUUGAGUUAGUAAUAGGAAAUUCGAAAUUCGAUUCGGGUUGUUGCCAUCAGCUGCAAGCAAGUCAGCAAGUUACAGGCUUACAGCGUCGGCAAAGCGAGACAAACCUUGAUCUCGGAGCAGCUACAACGUCGGCAGAUCGAGACCGUGUUGGGCUGAGUGGGACGCGAGGUGAACGCACGGCGCAGUUGCGGGUGAGGCGUGCUGGCUGACGGCGAGUGGGCUGCGGUGAACGGCUGGUGUCUGUUGGAGUUGGACGAGGCUGCUGGCUAUUACUGUCGUCGUGGCCCACGAAACUCGGAAGAGGGAGUAAGGAGGGAGGGGGAGGGAGAGACGGUGAGACCGAGAGUUUAGCUAAUUAGCUGCUUAGGGAUUUUUUUCAUUUAAUGUAUGGACUUGACUAGCUUACAGAAUCUGGAAGCUACAGACUGCAGCAUCAGCCAUUGGAUGUGGAGUGAGAAACUAAACAAUAGAAAUCAGAUGGUGGGAUGACGGGUAUGUAUAUAUAUUUUUAAUUUUUAAAAGCUGAAUCUUAAAAAAAAAAAAAAAAGGCUUCAACCCGAACGGGUUGAGAAUUCGGUUCGGGUUGAACCCAAACCAAAUUUUAACCCGAAUGGGUUGAAGCUUUGAAUCCGUUGGGGUUUCACCGGUUAACCCAAACCGAAUGCCCACCCCUAGUCUCAGCCAUUAGCCAAGUGGUAAACUCUAACUCUUCCAAGUCCUCUUAAAUUUUACUCUCCUAAUUAAAAAUUACGUAAAGAUAUGAAUUUUCUCUAUUGAUUUUUGUAGGUAGAACAAAUAACCUUCCAGUAUUUGUAAGAUAGAAUUAUAGGUUAUGCUAUAAUAGAGUUGAUCUAGAUGGUUUAUGAGUAGACUUCUAAUUGUAUAAUACAUAUUAGUAAGGGGAAAAAGACAUCUCCACUUGCAAAAUGUGGAGAAGUAGUCACCAACACUCCUAAGUUUUCAUAAAAGGAUGUUAAGACUCAUUUUGACUAUUAUACUCUUUAUCUCUAUUAUUCCC